CAUUAAAAACUUUUCUGUGUAUUAGAUAUACCACAGGGGACUUUUUUGUUUUUAACCCAAGAUUUAAAGAUAAUAAUAAGCAGUGUUGCAGUACAAUUGACUUCACUGUAACAUUCAUCAAACCUGUGCACUGCAUUUUGACGCUAUGAUGGAAAUAGUAAAACAGAAAGCCUUUAACAAUUACGUGAUCUUAACAAAAAUGACCUGUUUCUGUGUGCAAAAAGUUUUAAUACACGGAAACAGCUAUUAUGCACAUCUUGAGGAUUGAAAUUUCCACCUGGAAUAUAAAUUAACAGCCAAACAACCAGGCUUAGCGUUCCCUUGGCAUUUCAAAGCAUCCUGUUUUGACCAAUGUCAAUUCCAUGGCUCCAGGAUCAGCAAUAGAUGUCCUCACAAUUAACUCGGAAUCCACCACCUUCCUCAUGGUCAAGAUACAAUUUUACACAUCAAUCAUUUAACUCCCUUCAUGCCUCUUUCUCAGCAUACCUUUCAAUUCCAGGACUGGCUUUGACAUAACCAAGAAGUGAUUGAGGCAAGGGAACCCUCGCGGGGUGGUGGGAUUCUAUCGCUUUAUACAGGAUGUGAUUUCAUACAUCUACAUCUUCCAAUGGAACUUCUACGUGGGCAGUGACUAGCUAAGUGAAGUGGCACAUUAAACUCGUCUAUCUGGAAAGAAAAAAAAUAUCUGAACCUUCAACUGAAUGUCACGAACUAACUGGUUCAACUCGCUGGAGAAGUUCCAAUACACUGCUUGCUUUUCUUUUAGCCCUAUCAGUGCCACUCUCUGACAAUUCCCUCAAAACCUCUUCUGCCCCAAGGUCUUAGCUAAUUUCAGGUAUUGCCCAUCGCCUGUGCACAAUGACCACAGAAUAGCGGCAGCAUUCUCCCGGUUGCGUGGAGAGCUGGUCCGAAUGACCUCUACCAAUACCGGGAUUGGGUCAGCUUGACCAAUUGCCACUUUCCCCUCUGGAUGGCUAGCAAGUAUGGCCAAUAUUGCAAGAGCUUCAUCUACCAUUCCACCGCCAGGAUCCUUCAGCAAUCCUAUUAAUGGUGGCACAAUCCCUGAUCUAACUGCCCUCACUUUGUUUCCUUGAUAGAUUGAAAGAUUAAAUAUGGCAGUGGCUGCGUCCUUCUUUCCUCUUGGGGUCCCUUGGCAGAGUAAGUCAAUAAGUGCUGGGAUGGCCCCAGCUGCUCCUAUUGCAACCUUGUUCUCAUCAACAACCGACAAACUGAAAAGGGUAGCUGCUGCAUUUUCUCUUGCUUCCAUGCUUCCAACUUUCAGCACAUCCACAAUAUCAGGUUUGAGAUUAAGCUUAGUUGACAAAGGACAAGAUCACCGCUACAGAGGAUUAUCUGCAAAUAAGGUGAUAAGGCAUGUGACAAAAAUUAUGCUUCAUUUAAUGAAGAAUUCUCGAAGUCUUUAUGACCAUAUGUGUUUUUGAAAUUGUUUCAACUCUGAAACAAUUUCUGCAUCUAUAAAAUAAGAUAAGUUUUAGCUGAGGCAGAGUAUUAAUCUUAUUUGGAUGCUUGAUUCUUGCAUCUAAUGAUUGUAUGUGAAGUUGUGGACUAUAAGAUUACUAGAAGAUUUACUAUGGUCUUCAUUGGCUGUAGUUUUUAGUAAAUUAAUUUUUUGGGUGAAUUCACUGUCCAUGGUUUCAUUCUGAACCCUAACAUGCGUUUAAGUUAUCCCACAUGGUGUAAACCAGAAAUCUUCAAACAAUGCCCUUUCAUCAUGUGGCAUGUGAAGCUGGGUGUCUUCACUGAUCACAUGAUGCUCCAGAUACUUAAGCCGAUAGUUUGUUCUGGAGCAGUGAGAUUAAUCGUUGUUUAAAAUGGCUGAAUUUGAACUUUCUCACGACAUAUGCUGUCGGAAGAGAAAAAGACUUUCUAGGUAGUAAAGGGAUUAGUUUUACAACACCAUGAAUCUUGAUGCAGCUCAGUUUGGGUUUUGAGUGAGCGCUUCCAAGUUUAAGUAUUAGCUAGUAAGGUAGUACAAAUUUGUAGAAAUGUGUAUAAGACUGCUUCAAGUGAGUCCUGCUGUCAAGGAUAAGGCAUGCUAGCACAUGAAAUCUAUAACUGAGGUUUGUUAUUGGGCUUCCUAUGGCUAUUGAUUUGAGUUGUCCAAAGUGAUUCUUGCUAUAAUUUUGUUAACUGUGCAACUUUUUGGUUCCAGUUGAUACAAAUGAUUUAUCAUAGAUUCUUUGUUUUGUAAUUUAAAUAAAUUCCUGCUUAUGUUGAUUUCAGAGGAAGUUCAAGAAUUCUGGUUAGUUUUAGAGAUCUCUCAUGCUUGGGUGAAUAUACACUGUUUACAUUGAAUUAUUUCGUUCUGCUUGUAUUUUGAGGAGUUCUUGAAUUGAAUACUUCAUGUUCUGGAUGCUUGAAAUGGCUUCUGAUCAGUUGUCAUGCUAUAGGUAGAAUAUGGUUGGACAUGCUGGUUGGCUGCUCCAAGAAAAGUUUUCUGUAGGCUUUGCAACUGCCUUCAAGGCUUCGUUUUUUUUACUAUACUACAUCAAAGGCAAUCUGCACAUGCCUAUCAAGAUCUUGAUUGAGAUUCUGGCAAAUUACAUUUUUUAUCCGUGAAUCAUACGACUACUGAGAGAUGUAUGAGCAUACUUGAAAUCGCUAGCAUCUUAUUUAAUGAUGAGAUCUGACUUUGAGUGAGUGGUUUUUUGCACCAUUUUAUGUUGCAGCUUGUAAUUCAUGUUAUAGACUUGUAUCUCAUAAUUGUCUCCCUCUAUAUUGUCAAGAGAUUGGAUGAUGCUCGCUUUGUUCGCAAGCUUAAUGUUACUUACAGGGGAAUGUGCAUCACGAUUCUUCUAGACUAAUUUGCUAAUGCCAUCUGUAUUUUCAUCGUCUCACAACAAAAAUGAUCUCAACAACGCAGAGUUUUGGGUAAAGUGCAUAUGUUGCCUGAUUAGUUCUCUCAAUUCCUGCAAGACGAUUUGACUUAAACUUUCAAGGCAACCAUUUGAAGUACACGUUUCAGUCAGGAUAGGCUUUUCAGUGGAUUUUAACCGGCAGUAGUCAUGCUCAAUGUCGUAGACCGCCAGUGCUGUAUAUAACGUGAAAUCGGUUAAGCUGGAGAUAACAGAUGUCAGUGCUCUAUAAAAUUUUAGAAUUCAUGUAUAGUCAUCUAUAUAUUGCUCUUCUCCCGGUACAAGCUCGUGAGUUUCAUUCAGCUUGCAGGGGCCAUACCGUACGACUAAUGUUUAAACUUCGGAGAAUCCACCAACAAAUAUCCAUAUCUAAGUCGAUUUUCUGGAUGCCUGCAUAGAUAAAUAAGAAGCUGUCACGAACAAAACGACAGGCAGGUUAUGAAGAUAUCUGGAAUUCAUGAACACUCAAGUUUGAACUUACAAUCAUCUCAUGGUCCCCCAUGAUCUCUUCAAUCAACUCUUGUAUCGGUUUAUCAGCACUGUUCGGGACAAGAGCAGCAAAAACUGGCGGUUCUAGUCCUACACAGAUGGAAAUGGAAGAUAUUGGAACGAGUCUUUUAAGCUGUAUGCAGAACAACAGGACCAGAUGGAAUUUGCUUCUGGGUACUUUCUUUGAAAUUAGAAGAGAAAACUGAAAGAACCACCACUAACGUGAAACUUGAACCGGACAUGCAAAAUGCAGAAUGCUCAGCAGAUGCUUCGCAGUUGUAGAGGGGAAAAUUUUUCCGAAUCAGGCAUACAUCCUAAAUAACCAUAGGUGAAGAUUGAGAUUGGGAUAGGAUAAUAUCAACACUAGUCAACUUGGCUAUUUGUAGACUUUCGGUACCAUGAAGUUCCUAGCUCAACAAGCCAUUUUCUUUGACAAUAAUAGCGCACAAACCAACACACGCACACAAAAGGAAUUCGUGGUAUCAGAAACAACUAGGCCAUAUUUUCACGAGAUACCUUUUGGGCUUAUAAUUUAGCUUUAACAAUGACCAUAACGAAAUUAACUUGUACAACCAAAGAUUUCUAUUACGGUGAAAAGUAGGGUGUACCACUUUCUGGAAAGGCAUCAAUAAACAUCAUCAUCUCCUCUCCUGUGAGACCAGACAAGAAGCAAAUUCGGGGAAGUGACUUUGCAAUCUGCAGGGUAUACCAAAAUGCUUAUGACGCCGGACAAUAUGCAAUAUUAAUGUACUCUCUGUUACAUGAUUGUAAGACCAGCUAGUAUGCAGCAUCUAAGAGUACGAUUCUUCAGUUGCCAAAUUAGAGGAUAGAAUUGCACUCAAAAACAUCCUUCACUUAACAUCAGCCACAAUCAUUCUUUUGAUCUGCAUUGCAAUCAGAACUUCUUAUCAAGGUACUACAGUCUGUAGUUCAGUCCUAAUUCCACUGCUAUUUGUUGUUAGUCAAGUUGGCAACUCUAGAACGAAUUAGAGGGCACCUAAACUUUCCACUUUCAGAUGCACAGAAUAUGUUUUCUUCCCCCUCCCCGUCAGUCCUUGAAGACAAUAAAAACAAGCAUCCAAGAUAAUGACUUGUGUGGACAAAAAAUAUAUGCGAGCCCCAUAUAGUAUCAUUUUUUAUGGAAAUAGCUUUCUUUCUGGCAUAGCUUCAAUCGGUCGCAGAAGGAGGAAGACUUGACAUUUAAGAGCAGAAAAUCCAACCUUUGCAGCAUCCAAAUUAGGUUGCUUAGUAUUCAUUGCCUCCCACAGACAGCAAGUAAUCAUGUCUUCAGUACAAAAAAUGACCUGCAACCAAAAUAUACAAUCAGAAAUGCAGAUGAACUUUCCUCAAUUAACCCAAAACCAUUACUUCUCAGGCAUGCAUCAAGAAGAAUCAUUUCUCUAGCCCGCCAACAUUUGCAGAAGCCAGAAAUACACUUGGCAGACCAUGGUCUUCUGAGUUCAACGGAUUCUCUAAUGACUUCACACAGCCUUAGGAAUGUAUAAAAUCUGAAACAUAAUAUCCUUUUAUCUCUUUUCCCCCCCUCUUCCCAGAAUGACAUGGUCAUUUGAGUUCAAUGGAUUCUCUAAUGACUUAGAAAAGGACUUAUAUUAUUUGAAGAUUUUAUUCGAAAAAAAAUUAUUUCUUAACUGUUUGCAAAAGCUUUCCACCAACCAAAAGCCACUUUGAAUACCUCUUCAUCUCCUUAACUUGCAUGUGGAAAAAGAAGAAAGAGAAGUGUUGAGAGAAGCUAGCUACCAAUGGAGAUACCUCUAGGAAAUCACCAUCUAACUCCUUAAGAAGUUGCUGUAUCUGCACGCACACAAACACGUGGUGGAUUGAUGAAUUAAAUUGGAUGGGUACUGUUGCAUAUAAAGAUCAUUGGGUCUAUAUGCUUCUAGAGCUGCAACACUAUCUGUACAUUGUCAAGAAGGAGCCUCCGUGAAGAGUAUUAGCCAGUGCAGGUAGUGCAAGAUUGAGUGCAGCUAAAUUUAUUGUCUCAUAGCUAAAAUAUCAUUGAUAGUGCUCAUUAAGGGAUAUAUCCUUUUCAAUUCAUAUCCCAUAUAAAUUGCCCCAUCAAACGAAAGCCAAAAUCACAAAAUUUGAACAUACUUUCCAGCUGAUGAAACCCCCAUUUUUCAGUCACGAAAUCUUGAUCUUAAACAUGCAUUUGAUUUUGUUUCUGCAUGCUAGUUUCGGCACAACUAUCGUUGCUAGUUCUCUUCUACUUGAUAAGUCAUUUCUAAUAAUCAUUUUUUUUUCUGACUAAGAUCAUAGCUGUGCUAGAACUCAGAAAAGCAGUAAGCACUAGUCAUGAGCAGUUUGUGUAGUGUUAAAAAUGGAUGCAGUUGACUGAAGAGGCGACAAAUGAAAGAACAUAACCAGAAGAAGAAACAAUACUGAAGUUGGAAAUUUGGCAUGUCAUCGUCAAAAACUAGCCAAUUAUUUAACUCAAUCAGAAGACGUAAAUGCCACCGUAAAGUACCUUCACUGCCUCCUCUAAAUCAAACCCCAGCAACAAUAAUGCCUGUGACAUAAAGUGUCAUUAGCUAAAAGUACUAGUAUAACUAAAUCUAUAGGCUUCUUGAUGCAGUAACUCGUCCAAAUUUACAUCACAGCAUUAGUGGAGAAAUCAUGAAAAGUCCAUAUCAAGUGCAUAAACUCGUAUGCAGUAGCCAAAUUAACGCAACGUUCCAAAUCCUGUACAUUUGGCCAUCUAAGAAACUUAAAAUUGGUUAUUAUGUCAUAGAAUUGUUCAAUUUAGGAGGAACAAAAUCUCAACAGGUAACUCAAACUAAUUAUCAAAUAUCUCCAAUGUAGUGUUAAAUAAAAAAUUACUAGGGAUGACCGGUGGCAACAUUUUUAUUUUUUUUUCUGACAAUUGAAGUGCUAUUCCGGUAUAUCUGGAUUUGCAUUAAUAGAUUCUUGUCAAUACACGCAUUCCUUAAAUUAGACAGCAUCUAUUGAAAAUCCAUUCACGUUACCUUUUUCUUGUUUUCUUCCUUAAUACAAAACAUUUGCUUAGUAUGCAAGGACUAACUAGAACUUACAGGUGGACCAUAUCUUGGAUCUUCAGCAUUUAGAGGAACAAAUUUGGAGUCUUCAUCUACUAACUCAGACGGAAGCCCUGUUAAACAUUAAGAGUUAGGACAUCAGAGUUCAUAAACAGCCAAAAAUUAAGAGAAGCAGUCGAUGUUCUCAACGGAAGUAAAGAAGAAGAUCAUAUAUGCAUACCCUCAGAAGAUGCUCUAAGCUUGAGGCAGUGGUUAAGCUUCAAACAAGUAAAGGGACCUCUACAUGAAACAAAAGCUGGAAUGCAAAAGUUCACAUGCGGGUUUGAUGAUGGAAAUGAUAGUCUACAAGAGUUUAACUCAACUUUGUAGCAGAAGCUUCGAUGGGUGGUGAUCAGACGAGAAGCCAUGAAGGAAUCAAUGAAUAGACAGAUAAUCUCAUCAGUUCUGUUUCUCUAGUUUCCUUUUAUCCUUUCACUAAACAUUAUCUAUUUCUUUUCUUGAUUCUUUUUUAUAUGGGUUUAAGUUGGUAGGAGGCGUACUCAAAUGAGAAAUACAGUGAAAUUGUAUUUUAAAAAUAUGGGAAAAACUAGUCAGAAACUUGUUUUUUUUUUUCAUCAAAUUAAGGCAAGUAAAAUCAACUCCUUAAAACUCCUCAAUGGCAUUUGAUAACUGAAGUUUCAGUCUCUUCCAAAACUAGGAUUUUAAGAUGUUGGUAUUUUAGAUAUGUUAAGUUUGACAUAUUGGGAUUUUAAAAAUUCAAUUUUGCUUAAAUUUUGAUUUUUUGCGUCUUAGUUUUGCUAUUGAAUCAAUCAUAUUCAUUGGCGAUCAUUUUCAGGUUGAAAAAAACAAUAUUGUAUAGAGCGAUCAUUACAACAUAGUACUUAAUUAGUGGUUUUAACUUUUAAACAACGAAUGUAUAAUUAUUAGGGAUAAUUUCGGAAACCUUUCUUGAGGUUUCUGACAAUUUCAGGUAGAUUUUCAUGGUGGUGUAAUUGAUGAGUGGAAUAGACUGCGAGGUUAUAGGUAAGUACGAGAGAAUCAUAAAAGUUAGAAAAAAAGGAAGGGAGGAAAAAAAAAGAGACCGCUGUUAAUUAAAAUAGGGUUGGGGAUUAUGACGGUUUGUUGCAGGUUUUUACAUAUAUAUUUUACUUUUGAUUUGGUUUUUGUAUCUCACAUAUGUGGUAAAUUAUCUAUUAAGUAGAGGAUAUUGUAGUCAUUUUAUUGAAUCUAAUUAGGUUAGUGUAAUUUUCUAAAAUUGGGGGAGCUAGGUGAAAUUGUCAGAAACCUCAAGGGAGGUUUCUGCAAUUAUCCCUAAUUAUUAAAGUUGAAUAACCCUUUGGCCUUUUGCCAUUGUCUGUCGUCAGUUAACCCCUGAUUAAAGCAAACCCAAAAGUUUAUGAAUCCAAGAAUGCUGACGAUAAGCAAUUAGUAAAAGAAUGGUAGAAAAGUCAGCUGGUUAAAUCGAAUGCCGCUGCGGACCUCAUGCUCAUCUAACCCAAUUCUGGAUAAAGCUUGCCAAAUACUAUGCAGCUUUUCGUCUAGGCCUAUUGGUUAGUAAUUCGUCCCUCUUCUCCUUCUUUUUCUUGUCUAGUUCCUCUAGAAGAAUAGUUGUCUGAUUUUGUUGUCUUUCUUGCUUGAAUUGAGGUUGGCGAGAGCAGUUGGGAGAUGGGUUCUCUAUAGUUUCGUGAUUGGUGGUUUAAAUUGUUUGAAGGAAUGAGCUAAAGAUUGCAUUUUGACAAUUGGGCUUUUCUUAAUUCUGAUUAUAAUGUUCUCUGUAAUUUCUUGAUUGAUGUUUUGAAUAGAUUGAAGGAAUGAGCUAAUGAUUUUUGACAGUUGGGGGAUUUUCUUGUAUUCCGAUUAUAUAUUGAUGAAGUAGAAUUUUUUGAGUAGUUUCUUGAAAUUUCCUGUAUUUCGCCCUUGAUUUAUUGUUCUCCAAGAAUGUGCUUUCACUGUUUUUUCGAGGUCAGCAUUUGGUUCUUUACCAUAUUGUUUCGGGGGGGAGUAAUUGGCUUCUUAAUAUGCUGAAUACCUACAGUGAAUAACCAAUUAAGGUUGAUGAAGUAGCAUUUAACAUCUGUAUAGGAAUUUUAGCAAAUAAUCAUGUUUAUAUACAUUUGUCAGUUUCAUUCAGAUAUAAAGAGAGAUUUGGAUAAGAUGUACUAGCAGAACUAGAGGACCUGUCUGGUUGGGCCAUGUUUCUUGUGAAAGUUUUCAGCUUUGUAGAAUUCUUUCGAAAGGAGGUUUAGCUUGUACUUGAGAAGUAGUUUGAGAUAAUUAAUUUCAAAAGACUCAAUUUUUAAAAUGUGGCACAGUAAUUGUUCCUCUUGAUAUAAAAUCAGGAAACAUCGUUUCAGUUUAGACAUUGUAAAGCAUGUAGCACAACCAAUGUCAGUGGCCUGGCCUUCAUGCUUAUCCUUUUUCUUCUGAAACUACUAGUGUUGCAUCAUAAAACCUGACAUCAAUUUUAUAUCACCAAUUUUAAGUUCUGAAGGAAAUUCUUUGUGAUUGGUGCCAUCUAAGCUCUUCUCUUCAAUUAGUUUGCAGGUUUUGCACAUCAGAUUGUAAUUUGUGGUGCAUGAUCUAUGUUCAAGUAAGAUAUCACUACAAUCCUGUGAUCUUCAUAGGUUUCCCUUAUAUUACUCUUUUCCCCACUUCAUUAUAGUUCUGUUAUGUACCCAGAGGGGGUACUGGUAUACUAGAGAGGCUUGCUUGUCAUCGCUUAAGGUAUUAUUGCCUGUUUCCUGGCUGAGAAUCUGAUUAUCCAAUUAGGAGCAGCUAGUAAUUUACUCCUGCUUUUCCUAGAAAAUACUCAAGAAUCCAUCUUUUACUUCAGAUUAUAGUGCUGCUUAUAUUUAAGAGGGAAGAUAAAGCCUUUUUAUGAGGUUGGUCUAAAUUGGUAUAUCAUCAGAAGGAAAUAGGAAGAAGUGGGAAGGGUCUAGAAAUUCUUCAACAGAGAAAUACUGAGUGGUUGGUAACUAUAUUGUUAUAGCAAUAAAUUAGUUGCAAUUUACCCUAUUAGUGGCCUUUGAUUACUAUUCGUCUCAUGCCUCUUUCAUUGAAAUCUCAAGAAGCUUUCCUUGAAAUCCAUUGGCUCAUCAGCAGCUUCUGGUACAUAACUAUUAUUGCAUAUGUGAAAGGUCCUUAAAACCUGAAAUGGUAGAAAGAAACAUCGAAUUUGCAUCUUCUACAUUCUUAACCUUUUAUAGGUGGUUACCAAUAUCUCUAGGAACAACCAUAGCUGUUCCAAUUAGAAUUAGAGUUGGCAAUAUCUCAGUAAGUCUGGAGCCCUUCCAAUCAUAUAUUUACAUAUAGGCACCUCAAUACACUCGUCAAUGCCAUAUUUGUAAAAUUGUUGGAAGUUGAGACGUGUACUUUUUUUAUUUUUUGGGGGUGGGGGUGUUGAUUUAAGUGAUAAAAAAAAAUUUAAUUUAAGCACAGUAGAUUCGCCCUCACCCUCUGAGUCACAUGACCAAUUCUUCUUGUGAUUCUCGCUGUAUCCAUGCCAUCCAAAUAUCACAGCAGAUUGAAUUGUAAAACAUCCUCAGCAGACUUUUAAAUGUGUUCAUGUCUUAUAGGGACUGGAUAAGUAGCACUUUCAAAUUAUGCAUGCAUAUAGUAGUAGAGGAGUAAAUAAAGAUCAGCUUUAAUUCAUUAUGGCUUAUCUUUUAAAUAAAACUCCAUUGUUGCAUGCUUGAAAACUGUUGCUCAUUUGAAACAAGAAUUACAAGUGGGUUAUGUGACAAGCUAUUGAUGAAUAGUCCAUGACAAAUCUGUAUUUUAUCUGAAAGUUUCUCUGAUUGGUAUGCGAUGGGACCUCUCUUUCUACAAAAUGGAACUCACUUCUGUCCUCUAAAACCAUCAGUGAUGGAGAACAAUUUGCAUUCAAGGAGAUGCAGGAGUUUUCUACAGCGGAUGGGUUCGUGGAUGUAAGUGAGUGCUUGGCCGAGAUGAUAAAAUAUGUUGCAAAUGAACCCUCUGUGGGACUUUUCUACAUUCAGCAACAUACACGGAAUGCAGCACCAAACCUUAGUAAUCUCAAGAACAAUGUCACUGAGAGAUCUCGUGAGAUGACGUUGCAUGCAGAAGAUUCAGAAGAUUCUAUUUCCAUUAUAAGGUCAAUGAGAGAAUGCGGCUGUCCCAUUGCUGAUGAGAUGAUUAAAGACAUUAAAAAUUCUCUAGCUAUCAUGUCAGCCAAACAUCCAAAAAGAGGAUUAAUAAAUAGCUCAGAUUCAGCUUUUCGGUUGGGGAGAACAAGAUCUUGGGGACCAGUUGCCUGGGGUCGGAAAUCAAGUUCACCACAGCAAGAUGGUGAUAAAGGUGCUAGUUAUCUGUCAAAUGUCUUAAAGUCUGCAAAGCUCAAGGCUAGCAAUUUGAAAUGGCCUCAGGUUGAAUCCUCCGAAGAAUCAAGAGAAAUCAAAGAUGAGAAAUCAAUUUCAUAUCUUGAUCCCUCGUUGUCAGAUAGAGGUGCUAGUAUCUCUUCUGGUAUGCCUGAGGCUGAGGCAGUUGAAUUGCCAUUGUCAAGUGAGAUAGCUGAGGAGCCACAAGAAGUGCCAGUUGACAGAAGCGUGUGUGACGAUGAUCUGAUUUCCUUGGCUGUGAAAUAUGAAGAAUUCAAGGCUGAUAGAGAAGCUAAGCUGGAGGAAUGGCUAGGAGAGAUGAAGAAUUAUACAAGUAAUUAAGAACAAACACGUGCAGUGCAGACAACCUAUAAAUGCCUGCCUUGCUUUUGGGGCGUCUUUGCUACAUUGAAGGGGUUGAAAGGAUACUUUAGAAUGUAAGAUUGUUUUGACUUGUUUUGACGUUCUUUCAAAUUCUGCUGUAGCGUAUUUGUUUCUCGCACACUUUCUCAUUGUAUCAAAAGGCUUGUGGACAUACAUAAAGAGAAAAGGUAGCAUAGUUUAAACAAGAGAUAGGAGUUGAGAGGGUCAGAUUUUCUCCUGUGUUUUACGCAUACUGGAAAUAAAAGAACUAUGAGUUUCUUGCAGGAUCUUAUUUAGAGGCAAAGAAGGGGAGACUGUUAUGCAUCACAUAUCUGUAUUGAGAUGAUCCUAUUUGGUGGGUCUCCAACCCUUCGUUUUCUUUUGGAGCCAAACCGAUAAGGUAUAUCUCCAGUGCCCUUAUUUUCUUCAGCAAAAGUACUGGAGAUUGAUUGCUUGGGGGACUAUGAGGAAUAAUUUAGCCUAAGAAGGUCAACGAUGUAGUUAAAACAUGCUUUUUCCGGUUUGCCAGAUACAUUUUGCGUUAACAAAAGAAUAAAUUAUUUGUCAUUUCUGUCCUCUGUACACUUGUUUACAGGAAAAAAAAAUGAAAAGAAUAUAAAAAAAAAAAUCUGCCUCGAGACUUUCCCAACACAGUAACACGUGUUAGCUGAAGAGGCAAUGCAAAACCCAACCCACAGGCAUUGAGCAGGAUGAUCGGAAGCAGAUUGCUCGAUUAGUUUUCCAGCUUGCACAGCAAUAUCGUGGAUGAAAUGCAAGCUGAAAUACAUCCCAGAGCACACACUUCAACCUUCAAAGAAUGCACCAAGGCAGCUCCAUGGAACAGGACGAAAAGAAACAAAAGCUGCCUUGUGAACUCUUCUUGAUUAAUGACCACUGAUAGCAGUAUUUGAGCUCUAAACAUGUCAAAAAGGGGGUAUAGGCGUUUGCAUCCCAAAGCCAUCAGGAAGUGAAAGAAAAUGACUCAGCCCCAGGCAGAAUAUUCACAGCGUUUGGGUUCCUGUAGAAAAAGCACAUUCAAAUUAUACAGGAGAACAUAGUUUACUUCAUGAUACAGAGGAAACAUCAGAUUGAAUAAAAACCAGUGUCAAAAGAAAUUCUUACUCGCUGUAAAUAGGGAAGAUGUAGGUAGGAGAAAAGAAACAUGUAAUACAGUAACCAUGAAAAUCUUCUUUCAACUACUUUCAACUUGCAUCAAAUCUCAACCUGCAAAACAGUAUUGAAACAAUCAGCAAAAACAGAUCAAGUUCACAGCAGGAAAAAAGGACGUACUGAUAAAGAAUUACCAUUGAAGGAAGACCAUUUUUUAUGUUACUCUCUGCUUCCACAAUUACCCCUGUCAAUCACCAACUACCAGAGUUUGUGCUCGGCGGUGGAGCAAAUCCAAAAAUGUUAUUUUCAUAUAUGUUUUCGAGAGUUGAGCUGCUGAAAUUGGUUACUAAAUUUUCCCCAGCAUCCAAACUGAGCGUAGAGGAACCAGUGAUACUUUCCACAAAUAUAGAUCCAACAUCUGAAUUGGAAGCAUGGAUAAAUGCACCAUCACUGUUUAAUAUUGUACCUCCAAUGUUUGAUAUUGGGGGUAGGUCAGAUUCCAUGUAGCCCACUGAUCUAGCGACCAUAUUGGCAUCUGGAGGGAAUGUAACACUAGCACUACCUUCCACAAAAGGAUAGGUAAAAGUAGAACUGUCUUCAACUUUAACUUCAACUAGUGUGCUUGGGACAGAUGCAGAGCUAACACAAUUGCUCGAAACACUAGCACUGUUGCCCAGAUUUUGAGUAAUAAAGCCAUUACCAGUGGCCAAUGAUUUAGAGCCCACAUCAAGAUUUGCUGGAUCGUUAGAGCUGUUGCUGCUGUCAUCUGCUUUAGCUCUACCAAAUGUAUUCAGCAGGCCAGCCCCAUUGUUCUUACUCAGUAUUUUAGCUUUCCUGAAAAGUUUCCAACAAGGGGAAGUUCUUUCAGAGUCAUGAAUUAUAAAUGUUGUAGAACAUUAAGUGUUGAAAACACCAAUUAAAUUGUAAAUCUUAUGCUCAUACCGAACCAUCCUCUGUUUCAAAGAGGCUGCUUUCAACUUUGAAGUACCUUUAGGGGAAAAUAAACAGAAAACAUCAGUCAUUGUGGUGCAGUUUAAGUGUAUAAACUGCAAUAGGCGAAAACUUUCAGUCCAUGAGAUAUCCAUGCAAGAAUUGUUAACCCACCUGGUUUUGGGGUCAAUGAGCUCGAUACAGGCUUACGAUUGCCCCUCUCAGCCUUAAUUGAAGCAAUAAUAGAAUCUGCAUAUGGUCCCAGACCUUUCCUUCCAACCAAUUUAACACCAAACUUCCCACAAAGAUGAUGCAACCUCAGUUCGUCACCUCCUCUUACUUCUCUGAGUUCUAGUGCUUGUCGCCUGCUCAAUAAUGUGUAAACAUGAAGCUCCUGUUGCUGAUUGAAAUGGGACUGAAGCUGCUGAAAGAGUAGCUUAUUAGUGUGUGGUUGAUCUGGUCUAAGCCCUUCAUGACUUCUCUUUCCUGGGGGGCUGAAUGUCACCCUUAAGAUUGCAGUUGAUUUAAAAUCAGAUUUAUUUCUGCCAAAAAUUACCGAAAAGCUUCCAAAUUCCAAAUCUGGCUCCCUGAAUAGAUCUGCAAGGAGAGAAGCACAGGAAUGUGCAUCCUUUGGUGGGUUUUUCUCAACUUUUGACCUCGAGGCUCUAACACUCACAGAAUGAGAAAUAUUUGCAGCCUCUCUAAAUCCACUAAGAAGGGCUCCAUGCAUAGUUGCUGGAUAGCGUCUAUUGGUGGCCUCACCUGCAAAGAAAAGUCUACCAUCUCCUACACUUUCUGCCAGAAUAUCAUAGUCAUCUCCUGAUGCGCCUACGGCAACAUUGGAAUAGGAACCUAAGCUGAAGGGAUCAGCGCCCCAUCUGGUACAGACGGUUUGGAUUGGUUCUGGAACCUCAACUCCUUGGGGCUCAUAUAUGCCUGGACGCAAUAAUCCAAAAUGGAAGUGCUUUUAACUACAUCAGCUUUUCAAGGCAUGUACACCAGUAAAUAUAUGUACAAGUACAUGUAAACUGGGUGUGUCCUGAUAUUAGGCAAUAAAAAAAAUGAUUUACCUUUAAGAAUUUGAAGAACCUUUGUCACAGCAUCAGUUGGAGGCAUAGUCUCAAACUUGUGUGCAGCUUCUCCUGCCACUAAAGCAAUCAAGAGGGCACCACCAGCUACAGUUGCAUAGCUAUAGAAUAAAAAAAAUUCACCCCUAUUGCUAGAGUCAUCAGAGAGAUGUCCGAAGGUAUCGAGAUCAGUUCCCCAGAACACAUGAGGAAAAAGCAUUGCAACUUUAUUCAACAAUCCAAAACCCAACCGCUUUAUGCUAUCCAGCUUCCUUUGAGGCAACUCAGGUAUAAACUUGAUAGAACUAUUCUUCAAAACUCCAAGGGGCACAGUGCAUAGAGCCAUAUCGCCCUCAUAAACAUGGCCACCAGCAACAACCUGAACUCCCUCACUACCAUAACGUAUGGUAUUCACAGUUUUUUCAUAAAGUAUCGGAACAUUCUCAACCAAUGCCUGAACCAGUUUUCCAGUUCCUCCCGGCAGGAAGCAAUGGUCACCUCCCAUGUCAUAAGGGUCAUCUUGGUCCCAGAAUGCAAGAGAAAGCAUAGAAAGCAAACCUGCAUUUGCAUAUUCAAGAUUUGCAAGAUGCCAAUUAAACAAGCUCAGCUCUUCUUCAGUAACUGCAUCCCCAUAAACCUGCCGAAAGGUCUCCAAAGCCGCACCAAGAGAAACAUCCUGAGAAACUUCCCCCAUUAAUUGCCUAAGCUUGCCAGCUUUAUCCAAGAGCCGAUUAAAGGCCAUCUCCACCUUUUGAUCUAAAUCUGCAUCCACCGGUUUUCCAUCCACUCUAUAAAGCGGACACUUGUCUCUGAUCUUAUGAAGCGUGUAUGACAGCUGGCGCGCCAAGAUCCCAAGUGGGUUCCCAAGUGUGCCUGUCAGCACACUGCCCCCUAAAUCUGCAGCGGCAGUCCUAUUCCCGCCCUCCAUCUUCUUCGUGUAUACCCUCCCACCUGCACGUUUCCUCCCCUCCAAAAUAGUAACCUUAAAACCAAAUGACAACAAUUGCCUAGCUGCAGCCAACCCUGCUAGACCUGCCCCUAUCACAAUUACACUCGGCUUACUAGGCUCAGCAGGAAUCCUCUCCUUAACAGCCGGUGCAACCCCAAAAUUAAUGUAACCAUGCGAAACCAGGUAAUCAUAAGACGUAUCCAAUAGCCUUUUACAGUGAUCCGGUAUAAUGUCCAAAAACAUUUCUUUCGACACCCAUCUCGAUACAUCUUCCCGCCAUUUCGUGAUAAUAUGAUUCCUAACUAAAAUAUAAUUGACCUGCUCAAUGCCACCCACUACAGAAACAACCCCAGCAUCAAUUUCCUCAUCAGUCAAGGAAUCAGCCGGGAAACCAGCUGUCAACGCAAUCAAUGCCUCUGCCGUAGCCUCUUUAUUAAUCACAAUGAUCUCAUCGGAUACAUCAGAAGUACCAAGGUUUUGGUUUCCCAGUGUUGCUGAACUAGUAUGACCAUUGCUGCUAAAGUCAUAAUUUGAAUGAUUCAACAAUGAGGACGUUGGUAAGUUAUAUACCUGGUUGACAGACGGCGUCGUGUUGCGUGGUCGGCCUCGGCGACGCUUGCGAGGGAUAGAAAGGGAAAAGAAGUGAUUGGGAACUGAAUUGUUAGGGUCAGAAAUUGAGAUAGAAUCGCUGUUGGAAAAAUGGACAUUAGGGAUUUGUGUGGAAGUAGAAGCAAAGUUCGGGUUAGGGUUUGAAGGGGGUAAACGAAUGGUGAAUUGAAGGGGAUUAUUGUCGUUAAUGUUAAUAUAUGGGUUGUAUUGUUGAGGAGAGUUUUGAUUUGAGAAAUCCAUAGUAUUGCUUUUUCUUUAAAAUUUUGUGAACUUCGGAGAUGAAGGCUAGAGUGUAGAAUGAUGCUCCGGUGAUAUAACAGGAGGCGGAAGACGGAGGAAGGAGGAGAAAGAAAGCCGUCGGCUAGCAAGAGCACUGUGGAGACGGUAGUGCAAUUGGGUUCUUUGUUUUGCAGACGGGUCGGGGGUCGGGCUAGGCCGUCUGUUUACUUUUAUGAAAUUUUAAAAAAGACACCGGUUAUAUCUUUUCUAUUUAAUCUAACCUACCUUCACUUAUAUUUAUUUUUUUUUCCUAAUUAAUUUUAUAUUUUUUAAAAUAUAAUACUUGAAAUAUCUAUAUAAACCAUCUUUUUAUUUAUCUUUGUCGGGUACUUUUUUUGCAAUUUUGGUAGCUCAGAGCAAUUGAAGACACCUAAUGGAGUUGAGUGGUAAUUUUUCAUCAAAAGUGCUCCAAUUUCAAACAAUUUGAGAGAUAGAUGUCAAAAUUGAACCUGUUUUUCCUAUGGAAAGUUUCGAGUUUAUUGUCUCAUAGGUAGUAGUCUAAUAGAGGCAUAGUGAAGCGAUGUACAAAUAUGCGUAUAACAGUUAGAAAUCUAAAUUAAUUUAGAUCCAAAAGUUAUACUUUAAAUUUAGAAACCAUACACCAUAUUCAGACGAAAUGGUUGCUUAGAUUGCAUUAAGCCUCCCUAAAUUCCAAAUUUAAACUAAAAUUGUUUCGAUAAAAUAAGAAAUAGCAUGUGUUGGACGAACCUCUACAAGUGCUACAAAAAGAGAUUUAAUUUUGCUGUAUUAUGUAACAUCAUGUUUAGACUUGUAAUUAUAAUGGACUAGUUUUAGGCUGCUCGGAACCCAGAAAAAGAAAAAGAGUUUUUUUUUUUGAAUAUAUAAGAUAUAAAUUUCUUAAUAACUAGUAUCAAAUUAAAAUGAUGGACUAGUUUGUAAAUCAAGCAUUAGAAAUGUGGAUAUUAAGAAAGGAUAUACAUAAUAAUAUAUUUUUUUCCAAGGUUUUAGACUACCAUCAUUGUAAUAUAUUGUAUGUUUUUAAAUAGUAUAAAAAUUAAAAAAGUUAGACAGCAUUUUGUUAUUAUUUUUUUGUUUUCAUCAUUUAAUCAAUUACUACAUUGCGUAUGAGUAAAAAUUACGUCUUUAAGUUUAAUCCUAUCAACAAGCCUAGUUGCCUUUACUGUAGUUUAUACAUGACGCAUGCACAAAAGAGAAAAAAUCGAAAUUGCCAAUCUCAUGUAUAUUGACGUAGUAGUAAUUUAAUCAUAAUAGAAUUUUAUUACCAAAUUUGUCAUGACUAAAUUGACACAUCUCAAAAGUUUAGGGGUCAUAGUUAAUAUUCUAAGGCAAUUAUCUUUUUCAUUUUUAUUUCAAGUUUGAACAGGUUAAUGACGUCACCCACGUGACUCCGCCGCUUUGUCAUGUUAUCAUUAGAAGAAAAGUCGUAGACCCAUAUUGAGUUAAUAUUACGACUCUUUUUUAUUUUUAUUUUUUGCCCCCUGCAACGUCCUUUUCUAUUUAUUUUUUGUUUUUUGUUUUUUUAUUUUUAACCAGCUUUGAAUCCUCUGAUCUCAUAUCAUAUUUUGAACAAAGGUAAUAAUAAUAUAUAUUGUUAAUGAUUCGAAUUUAAUUUAUCCGAUUCGUUUUCUUCAUCAGAAAGUUUACAGAUCCGAAUCAUUUCCUCUCUUUCCUGACAGCAUUUUCUCCUCCUUCUUUCACACACUCACGCACAAACGCAAGUACAUGUCUUCUUCUACGUUAAUUAAUCCAGUAUUUACUUCAAUGACGAUUUGGAUGUAAUUAAUCUGAAUUUUGGCAAUUUUGUUUUUCAGCCCGAAUUUUCAGUAAUUGGAGCUGGUGACUAAGCUGAUUGGAUUCCGGAUGGGGAUUUUCGACGGGUUACCGAUUUCCCGAGACAAAGCCGUGAGUUUGCAUCUUCUUGUCUAAAAUUAGACUUUUUUGAAUUAUCAGUAAAACGUUAGUGUUGAGACCUUUGACUCAAUUUGUAUUUCUUUUUAUUGUUUAAGAUUGCAGCCUUUCAUUUUUGCUUAUUGUUGUGUUUAAUAACCCACAUGCGUAAAGUAUUUGAAGAUUUUAGUUGCGAAGUAUUGUAAUCGACGAGAGAAAAUGGGGUUAUUAUGUAGUUGGAUGAUUUGGUUAUUCUUGAACAUGACCUAAAUUGGAGCAAGGAUUUUCUGCCGCCGGCAUGAAUUCCUUUGGGUGAUGAAUUUUCUGGUCGAGAGCUCUACUUUGUAAAUACUACUCAAAAUUCAACAUGAAGUUGGGCUUGUAACUAGACCCAUUGAUUCAGAGCUUGUUGGAAAUAUCAACAUGAGAGAAUUAGUAUUUCUGGUUGAUCCUGCACAUUCUUUCUGAUUUUGCUUCAUUCCAAAUGCAGUAUUUGAGGGAGGAACUUGCGAGAAUAGAUGAGAGCUGGGCUGCUGCACGUUUUGAUUCUUUACCUCACGUUGUACAUAUUUUAACAUCCAAAGAUCGUGAUGGUGAAGCACAGCUUUUGAAGGAGCAGAGUGAUAUCAUUGAAGAAGUUGUAGAUGAAGUAGUGCAUGCUUAUCAUGGUGGCUUCAACAAAGCUAUCCAAAAUUAUUCUCAGGUUGCUAAUUAUUUCUUCUUUUUCUUGUUUACCUUUCUUGCCGCCCUUUGAUUAAAGUUUUCAACUUUUCUUUAUGUUAGUUAUCUUUGUCAUGUAUAAAUCUUAUUCCAAGUUGAUUGAUGUAAUGCCAAGAUUCGAGAUGAUGCUAGUAAUCGGCAUAUUUAUGUAUCAGUAUCGUCGUCAACUUUCUUGCGUAAAAGAAGGAUCUGUUAUAUACUGAUACGACAUUUAGGUAGACUGUAAUUGUAGUAUAGUAAAGAGGUUAUAUAGCAUAUUCUGAUUGUACAUGUGCACUGUAUAUCUUCACUAUUCUGUUUUAGAGAGAGAGAGAGAGUGGUUGGAGAAGGUAAGAGAUGGAAGGACAACAUUAGGGCAUAUGUCUUCGAAAUCAGCUACUUUGCUUAACUAUAAAACAACCACAUUGAGUAUUAUCUUUCAGAGCUGGGUGAAGGAUCUAUAGUCUAUGACCUACUGUUAUUUUCUUCCUUAUAAAGCUAAUUGUGUUGCUAUAGGAUGUCUACUUGUUUUAGUUGGCAGCAUACUACUGUUUUAAUUUUUUUUUACUUUUGAUAGAUUCAGGAAGAGUGUCUCGCUAAUAUAUAUUACUUUCUUGCCAUUUUUAACGCUCGAGUUGUUAUCCUUAGUGGAGGAGUUUAUGUUUUUCCUGGUUGUGGUGCAUUUUUUUUCUUUUUAGUAUUAGUGGUAAUUAUCUAUUAGAACCUCCCUAUUUUUGCUUUUGCCGCCGGGAAGUAGAGCAUUUAACCCUUCUUAAUAUUUCAAGUUUGUAUUAGCUCAACUAUUUUCCUCCAGAUUUUGCGGUUAUUCAGUGAAUCUGCUCAGAGUAUUGCUGUACUAAAGGGUGAUUUGGGUGACGCAAAGAAGCUUCUUGGCGCUCAAAACAAGCAGUUGCAUCAGUUAUGGUAUCGUUCGGUUACAUUGCGGCAUAUUAUAUCAUUGUUGGAUCAACUGGAGGGCAUAGCUAAGGUAUGUCAAUUGUUGUUUUCAUCCUCAUUCAUGCAUGGUUUGCCUUGCGGUACUCUUCCUUGCUGUCCAUAAAAGUGUUGUUCAAAUUGGUAUUUCUACAAAAAAAUAGAGUCAAUCAGAAGUUAUUAUUUGAGCUCAAGAUCAAAAGUAAUAUAAAGAAUGCACAAGUAUGUGUAAGGAGAAUCUUAUAGACCAUUUUAGUAAGUACAACAAAAAAUAGUAGGAAGGUCAUCUCUAUUAAAUGCUGAUACAUAUUCUGGUAAGAAUUAUGUUUAUGUUUUCAUGUUCUUUGAACUCUGAAGGAUGAAAGCAUUGGGCAUCACAUCAAGCAAUAAAGGUUAGAAAGUGACCGCAGAGAUAAAUUUAAAGUUCCAGUAACAAAAAAGAAUCACUGAAGGCAGAAUAGAAUAAAAAAUUUGGAAAAUUAUAUCUUGGAAAAUUUGGAGAUGUCUCUUUUACUUUCCUUCUGGGUGGGAUAUACAAGUCUUUAGCUUCUCUGUUAGUUUUUCUGACAUGUUGGGUUGUACAAUCAUCUAAUUUCUGUCUUCCAAUUGAAUAUCAGAAACUUAUUUUGGUUCUUGGCUGCUUGGAGCAAGUUAUUGGUGAUCUAUGAUUUUGCUAGUAUCCUUGCUAAUUCAAACUCGGUGAUCUAAAAGCUUGUACUUUCUUGAAUUUACCUUUUUAAAUAUUUUUUACUGUGUUUAUUUCAUUUAUUUAAUUUGUAGAAAUUUACAUCUACAUUGGAGAUUAAUCUGCUAAAGUGGCGCAUAAUUUGUUUUAGCACUUCCUUCCAUCAUUAUACAAGUUGACCAAUAUACUGAAAGAAACAUUUGUGGAAGCCGUGAUUCUUUUCAGCAUCCUUUCUCUUCAUUGUAGAUAAUUGUUCUAAACACCUAGCAUUUGUCGUCUUAUGAUUUAUUUGUCUUGGUUUUCUCUUCCUCAUUAUGGCUUAGGUUCCAGCUCGUAUUGAGAAGCUCAUUGCUGAUAAGCAGUUCUAUGCUGCAGUGCAGUUACAUGUUCAAUCUACAUUAAUGCUGGAGAGAGAGGGCCUUCAGACGGUUGGUUUGGUUGAUGCAUUCUUUAAUAUUUUGUUACUUUCCUCUGCUGCUUUUGAUUUUUAAUGUAAAUAAGUACGAAUCCAUGUUCUGAUUUUUCUAGCUUAUGAAGUAUGGUCAUAAAAUAAUUUCACAUCUUAUGUCUUUAAAUAUGGGGCAGUUACUUCUGAGAACUGGAGUUUUAAAUUAUUGACUUACUGUGUUGAUAGAUUGUUUUCUGGUUAUGUUGAAUUGUGAAAAUAUUCACAUUUAGGUUAGGGUUUUAGAAGUUCACCUGGAUAUUGAACUCAGCUGUCAAUGUGAAGCCACAAAUAAGGUCUGACUCCAUGAGUUCUUAGCUGUGUGGUGACUAUGGUCAAUUUGAAGGAUCUUUGGCUUAUUUCCCCCUUGUGCUAUCUUUUAUGCGCUUUAAUUAUGUGAAAUUUUAGUUACAGAAUUUGAAUGGUUGAGCACACUAAUUCAUAAGGUUUCAUUUAACUAAGAACUUCAGGACAUUAAAGAUGUCUGAUCUGUUUAAUGGGAUGAUAUUGUGGGAUGCCUUUGAUCGCUGUUAUUGAAUUUUACUCUACAGCACUACAUUGUGGUAAAGCCAUUUAAUUGGUUCAUUAUUUUUUUGGGUCAUUGGAAUGAAAUUGCUAACCCAUCCAACUAAUAUAAACUAGAGUGGAGUUAAAUAUUGCGAAUCAAAGGCAAGCAGAUGUGUGAAAUUGGACUCCCGAUUCAACAUCAGCAAGCAUGUGAUUUCCAGGCUCCAUAGCAAGUGACACCAACAUAUUUUUACCAUAAGAAUUAGUAUAUUAGAAUGCUUCAUUUGUGAGAUGACCCUUGUGUGAUCUGAAUAGCACAGGCCUGUGAGACAAACAUUAUAAACGCUCAAGGACAUGAUGAGAACUUAAAUAUUUUGAUUGGAAAAUCAUCAAAUUUUUUCUUAGAAAAAGGGUCGAUAUUGAAUCCUGUGUCAAAAUCAAUACUAAGAGUAAUCAAAAUACUAAGAUUGGUAAUAACAAUUAUCAAAUAAUUGAUAAUAUUGAUAAAAAAGGCCCUUUUAUCUUCUGCUUCCGCAAAAUCCCAAAAUAAACUCGCCAAGUCCAAAAAAAGUACAUAUGAAAUUGAGCACAAUUUUGCAAAGAAAUAGCCCACUUGUUUCUCAAGAAGAGUUGGGAAACAUGCUCAAUAUCAUUUGAUUGAGUGGUUGACCCAGCCCCUUGUUGUUUGAAGAAACCCUGACUUUUCUUAGAGUUCAACCUUAUGAAAAGCUGUCAAAUGGUUGUGGCUGCCAUGUUGCAUACGCUUUCAGUCCAUCCCUCUCUAGACAAGUUAAGUCCAUGAUAAAAUAGAAACUGUUUACAUCCACCUGUGGUUGACUUCAUCUUAAUGUACUCGUACGCUCAAGUAUCUCAAUAUGCAGUCUUAAAGCACUUGAUAGGAUAUUAAAUUUAAGGACUUUAUUUACUGGUUGAAGUUAAUGCAGCUCUCAGUUUGGUCACAUAAAUCUCUUAGGUUGUUCCAUAAUGAAUUCCAGAUUAAGCUAAAUAUAUAGUAGUAUGUGCAUACAGAAUGUGUGCACAUUCUCUUACAUGACAAGCAGGCAACUUGGUUCCAGGUUUUUUAGGGUUCACUAGAUAUCUACUGCAGUGCCUUUCUCAUUUGGCCUGGUAGACCAAUGUCUUAAAUGAAUAGCUAUUUGAUGUUUGUAAUCAUUGCUCUAAAUUUUGGUUCCCUUCUCCCUCGUCCUCCUUCUCUUCCCCCCCCCCCCCAAAAAAAAGGAUUUGAUUUAUUUGAUGAUGCUUGUAGUCGCAUCUAAACUGCAUGCCCUUUGAUGUUCUCAGGUUGGUGCUCUACAAGAUGUCAGAUCUGAGUUGACGAAAUUGCGAGGAAUUCUUUUCUAUAAAGUAUUGGAGGAUAUGCAUGACCAUCUUUAUAACAAGGGUGGAUACAGGUAAUGUUUCUUAUCCCUAUUUGAUCAUAUAUGUUUAUUAAGUGUCUUCUUGUGGAUUUUAAAUAUUGACUUUCCUGCUUUUGCAUUUCUGUGAAGUCCUUAUUUAUCCAUGUAAUUUGCAAUAUGAGGUAAAUUUGGAAUGUGAUGUCAGAAUAUUUCAGGGUUGUCAGCUUGUGACACAUUGCCUUGUUUUCCAAGGGAAAGUCUGCUUAGACUGAGUCUGACACCCACUGCCCUUUUGGUCAGGGAAAUGGGAGUGGUUUACAACAGUUAAAUGUGUAACUUUUUUGCAUGUUUUGCGUCAAGUCAAUCAAAGUACACUUCUACAUCUGCCUACACAAAGGUUUUAUGUUGGGAGGGUUUAAGACAUCCUUGGGGAGAAAGUCUGUACACACAGUCCACUAACAGAAGACCUCAGUUUCUUGUUGAUUUCUGAAGCAAGCUGUCUCCUUUUUCUUGUUUGCCCCUAUCGAAUAUUCUUUUGCCAUUAGUGUUUGUUGCUUUUUUGUUUCUUCAAUUGAAUGCUCCCUUUUUGUUUAAUAUAUUUUGCUUGCUUGAGUUUUUUUGCAUCCUCUUCCUCUUCAUAGUGGUCCUUUCAUUUUAGUCUGUGUUUGUACGACACUUUAUACACCUUGAUCUUGUACGAUUUUAAGUUGAACAACUAAUAUUCAUGUUCCCUUUUAAAAUAUCUGUCCUUGAGUAACACCCAUUGAGUAACAAGGGUUGCCAUUCUUUCUUAGCCAAAUCUCUGAAUUCAGGUUUUAGCUAUUUUUUUACACCACUUGCACAGCAAGCUUUUCAUCCAGUUAGGUAAAACUAUAUCAGAUGACUACAUAAGGGGGCAAAGAUAAAACACACAGCAAGAUAGCAGUUCCAACAUUUUAUUUUGUAAUUCUCUGUUUUUGAUGGUCUCUUUUGAGCAUCAGGCAAGGCAUGAUUCUUAAAACUUGCUGCUUGGUGAAAUUUGAUUUCUUCUUGUGCAGUUCUGCUGUGUCAAGUAUUGACGAGAUGGAUGAUGCAGUGCCAACUGCCACAGCUGUUGCAUAUUUUACAAACAACACGCAAACUCUCUCUAGAAGAACCAGGUUGCUUAAAGGCGACAAUCAGUUUGGUUCAUCUGGACUUGGAGAUGGAUCAUUUCGAGCUAGUUCUAUUGACGGGGGGUAAUAUAGAAUACUUAUUUAAGAUUCACUUGUGUAAAUUGUAUUUUUCUUUGUUUGGUUGCUACUUGGCAAAUUGUAUUUUUCUUUGUUUGGUUGCUACUUCUGCUUCACUGUGUAGAAUCUGGCUCCUGUUCUUUGAUUUUCUUAAUAUUAAUUCUGCUGCUGGUUAGAAUCAACUUUGAUGACUGAAUACUUUGUCUCACGACUAAGAAAACUUGUUUAGCAUCACCGGUUAGACUGAUGACUGUCACCUUGUGUGUUACAUACCCAUUUAUUUGUUCUGUUGUUCGUCUUUCUUCUGACUCAGUUUUGGCCUAUAUAUUGGUUUACGUUUUGUGUUUAUAUCUACUGCUCAAAUUCUAGUGUGCAAGAGAGUCAAACAAGAAAGAGAUGUUUGCUUGUCUAAAAUAUCAAAGUCUGUUCAAAGUAUAAAAAUCUAUAACACAAUGCAUUUUUUUUUUUUUUACAAAAGGUAAGAUUAAAUUGCAGUGUUGAGGGAUGAAACAGAGCAAUUUUUGCAUGGUGUGCACUAUUGCAGUUCCCCACAUUGCAUGCAUGUUGUGCUCUAUUGACUGAUAAGUUUUUACAAGUAAUGCGUAUGUAAAUGGAUUUUCAAUAUAAAAACUUGGAAUGGUUUUAGUUUGUUCUGAAGAAAUAUUUGCUUUGAUGAUUCAAAUGCCUAAUUUUUCUUUAUUGGAUUGAAUAAUGUGCAAAGUAAAUAAUGCAUAAUCUACCUCUUUGCUCUGUAGUUCAUCAUUUGACGGUCACGAUGAGGAUGGCACUUUGGAUGUACAAGAGGAUGGUAUGUCAAAGGUCAAUGGUGGUGAUGAUACAUUAAAGGAUGUCAAGCUUUUUUCUCGUCAGAUUCCAAUUUGGCUGUCAGAUGCCACUCCUGAUGAAUUUGUUGUAUGAAUGCUGUACACACUGUACAAUCUCAUCUGUGCAAUUAGUAAUCAACUUAUCUUGUCAAACAGUUAUGAGCUUUUUAUUUUGAAUCUGCAUGUAGGAAACAAUGCGAAAGAGUGAUGCUCCUUUGCAUGUUAAGUAUUUGCAGACCAUGGUUGAGUGCCUCUGCCUGCUUGGCAAAGUUGCUGCCGCUGGUGCCAUAAUAUGGUAAGUUUUCAACAUUCAAAAUCAAUAAGAGUCUCGUCUCAUAAGAUGAUCAGGCAUAGUUUUAACAAGUUGAUAUAUGUCUCUUCCAAGGCCUAAUCAAAUCUCUAACUUCUGCUGCACAAUCUCUCUCCCAUUCGACUUCUUUCUCUUGGCUCACUGCAAACUCGUAACUUUUGAUCCGCUUUUUUCACUUGUAUUCUUUCGGCUGCAUGUGACAUCUUUAUCUUCUUAGAAGUAUUAAUAUAUUAGCUUCAUAUCUUGUUCUUAAUGGUUUCAAAGAGUAAGGGGAAUCAAAGUGCUUUUUGUCAUAGUCAAAUCAAAAUUCCUUGUGCUUGUUACCUCAUCUUCUACAAUUGUGUGUUACAGGACACUAUGGGAUAAUUUGUUAAGCCAGUUUGCUUUAUGCAGCUACAGGAGAUAAGCAGGGCUUAAAAUCUGCUUCUGUUCUUUUCGAUUGAAAUUGUUAGACAUAAGGCAUCAAAUUGUCAUUUAGUGAGCUAGCGUUAGGUAUAUAUGCAUUGAGCUUGUUUUAGGAGUGAUGGCUUUUACUUUCUAUUGUUUUCUCAAACAAAUUAGAACAUGACUUUUGGUCUUUUCCUUGUUGUUUUCAACAGCCAAAGGUUGAGACCUACAAUUCAUGAUAUAAUUACAACCAAGAUUAAAUCACAAGCAGAGCGUUCGAACUCUUCAAGGCCUGGCAUUGGGCAAGCUGCACAAACUGGGUUAACAGGUCUACACUAUUUAAAGGGACAGUUGGAAAGUUAUCAGCUAUUAAAGCAGAAAAAACAUCAAAAUGGAAUUUCUCUAGCUGGAGCCUUAUUAGCUGUGAGCCCAGUGUCUUCUGUAAUGUCUCCCAGUGGAACAGCACAGGCUUCUGCAAAAGAACUUCUUGAUUCCAUUCUGGAAACUGUUGUUAGGAUUUUUGGUUAGAUAUGAGUGCCUCUCUUUUCUUCAAUUUAAUGCCUGUAAUUACUUCUCUACUUUCUGAACAAAUCAUUAUGAUUGCAGAGAACCAUGUUAUUGUUGGAGAGCUUCUUGAGACAAAAUCUGCCCAGCAGGUUGACUUGAAUACACCCAAGUCCAUAGUUGGAGAGUCCAAUUGGAACCAUGAUCCUGAGGCAUCACAUGAUACUGGUGGUUAUAGCAUUGGCUUCUCGCUGACUGUUUUACAGGUAGGUCUCUUAUGAUUGUGAUUUUUUUGUUAAGGUUGAAUUUCUUACUCUGUUAAAUUCUUAAAGUUCUAGCGCCAGAGUACAUUUUAAUUUGUGAAUUAAAUGCAUCAUUAUGGUUUUGAUGGAUUGCGGAUUAGAGUGAGUGUCAACAACUCAUAUGUGAAAUAUUACGAGCUACUCCUGAAGCUGCAUCAGCAGAUGCUGCUGUCCAAACGGCUAGACUUGCAAGCAAGGCUCCAUCUAAAGAUAAGAGGUGAGUAAAGAAAAUAUUGAUUCUCUUCCACUUUAUCUUGGAGAUUCUGUUCCUCUUUCUUCAAGAUAUUUAUUUUCAGAUAGCAACUCUAGGUCUAGGGCCAAUUCCUUGCUUGGAAUGAUAACAUCAAAUUUCAAAAAUUGGGAACUAUAGUGAAGUGCUUCUGCAAUCUUUGCAAGAGCAAAGUUUGUAUCUCAUCUUCAUUUGUCUUGACUGAAUAGUCUCUGCCAUCAAAUUGGAGUUAGUUGCAGUUCAUCUACUUCUUAUCUCUCCUCGCCUAUGUAGAGUUUGUUUUUAUUCACAAUUUGCGUCAUGAAAAAAUCAAUUGGACCAUGCGGUCUUGCAUGACUUAAGGCCAGUACGUGAGUCAUGAAAAGUGUAUGAUUGUUAAAAGUGCUUAACUCAUAAUCUAGUGGAGGAAUAAAAUUCAGGCAGUUUUAUUUUAAAUCGUUUUUUAGUAUAUGAUCAGGAAUGAUGCAAAUAAGGUAUUCAGGAAAAUUGGAUCAGGUUUCAGACUUUGUUGCAAUUGAGAUUCAGCUACAUGAUGUUGAAACCUGCAUGCCUAUUUGUUUAAUGUUCUUUCUGACCCAAUAAAUGGUAAGCUACGAUUUGUUGAUGUCUAAUUGUUUAAACUGUUUAAGCUUUUCUUUGAUUGAAAUGACUGAAAUAUACUUUCCGUUACUAAUUGCAACAAUCUUAAUUUAUGGUUUUACUCUAAUUGGGAACAAUUUCAUGUGAUAAUUAGCUGCAUAAGUAACUCAUAGGGGGCGAUUUACAUGCUGCAGUGAUUCACUUUUGGAACGGCCAACCACUGAAGGUGCUGAAUAUUCCAUAAAAUUGUCCAUGUGUUUGAGCACUGAACAUAGUUACCUGAUGAUUUUUAAAAGCAUGAUCGACCUAAUUGAAAUGAUUUAGGAAUCGUGACAUUGUUAGAGUGAACACUAAUAGUUUCAUUUAAUGAAGUUCCAGGGAUACAAAACUGGAUGGUCCCUAUUUAUAUUUUGUACUUGAUAGAAUUAUUACAGAAAGUAGUUCUGCUGCAACAGUGGCUUUAUGUUUCAUAUUCUGUAGAAUUUGUUUAAUUCUUAUUAUGACUAGUAAUGUUGCAUUAGUGAUUUCCCUGAAUCUUUAAGAUUUUUUUACCUCUCAUUGGCUUUGACAUUAAUCUUUUUUGUUGAAUCUGUGCUGUAGGGACGGAUCUGAAGAUGGUCUAACUUUUGCCUUUCGCUUCACAGAAGCUACAAUUUCCAUUCCUAAUCAGGGUAUGUGCAACUGUGCUAUUGCAUUUCUUACAAUUCCUUUUUCUGUUGCGUGAAUAUAUGAUUUAUUGCCCUUGUUGAGGUACCUAUGGAAUUACUUGACUUUGUCAUGUUUAAAAUUUUGUUCCAUACCCGAAGUAAAAUAUCUGUUGCGUUUUUCCAUUUUUUACUGGGACAAAAUUGUUCCGUUCAGUUGUCUGAACCCCAUUGCCAUUGAAUAAAUUGUGCCUGCAGGAAGAUCGAUCAUACUUAUAAGGUGUCAAAGUUGAUAAUAAAUUCAUUUAGCUAUCAGUCAUGAUAUUUUGUGGGUAUGAAGCAGGAUAGUUUAAGUAAAUUCGAAGAAAAUCUGUAGUAAUCUGUUUUGGGCUUCACGUUUUAGAAUGUCAAUGCCAUGUUCUUGCUUCUUCAUCUGCUAAUACCUUUACCCAAAGUUUGCAUGCUAUGUUUAUCUUCUUUCAACAAAUGAUGGAAUCAAAGCUUUUUAAUUUUUUAAUUUUUUUUGAUUGAUUUCAUCUAUACUUCCUCUCUCCUGCCAUCCUGGGUUUGGAGAAACAGUAGACGUAUGGAAAAACUGGUCUGCCAAUUGCAGUUACAUUUAGACUGUAACAUAUCCAUUUCAAGUUACUUUUUACAACCAGAUUCCUCUUUCCUUUUCAACUUUUCACUCCAUUGUCCUUAGUAAGUUUAUCGUGAACAAUUUGACUCAGGGGUUGAUCUCAUUCGCCAAGGAUGGAGUAGGCGAGGUCCUAAUGUGCUUCAAGAAGGUUAUGGUACUGCAGCUAUUCUACCCGAGCAGGGCAUAUAUUUAGCGGCAUCUGUAUAUCGACCCGUUCUUCAGGUUUAGCAUUUGACACGCUUUUCUAUUUCUUUCCCCCUUUUCCUCUUGUUACUAUCAAACAUGGAUUAUGUAACUGGUCUUAUAAAAUUUGUUUGUCUGCAGUUUACAGAUAAAGUUGCUUCAUUGCUACCUCAAAAGUAUUCUCAGCUUGGGUAAGCUUGGAGUUAAUUAUACAGCUUCUUGUUCUUGAGAAUGAAUUUUUUUUUCCUGACAGUUUACAGGAAAAUGGUUAAAGGCAAUUGUUGCCAUGGUUCUCUACUUAUCUUUUGACAUUUUCUUGUGCUGCUCUUGAUUUUUGUUGAGGAAACAUAAGUGGAUGAAAGGAUAAUGUUACCAUAUGACCUGCUCUUCAAGCUUCUAAUAAAGAAUUUAUCCUCUUCAGCGAGAACUAGAACUUCAUUACUGAAUUUUCAGACAACUGCAAGGCUCUAUGCUUAGCUGUAUACGAUAAUUUUGAUGAUGUCAUAAUAACUGAGGCCUCAGGAUUUAAUAUUUUGUGAUAAAGCACGACCGUCAUUGAAAUGUUCAAGUCCUAAACUUUCAAGAAGAUUUGUUUACCAGAAUCUGAAGAAGAGUGCAAUUUCGGACUAAAUUCAAGUAAUCACAUAUUUGUCUAAAUUUUCUGGUAGAAGUACAAAAAGAUAUAGAUGUACAUAAAAUUUUGACUGCUGUGUGUCGGACAUGCCUGAUUGUGAGUUUUUAUUACGAAGGCUUGCUUCCAUUUGGGAGUUGAUAUGCUAUUAUUUGCACGACUGUAUGACAUUCUCCUUCAUCAUCACCAAACAAAAUGGGGGAAAAAUAAGAGUGGUGUCAUUGCAGAAAUGAUUUUUUCUUUUUUGAAGUUGUUUUACUGAGGUGAGUAUAUAGCUUUUCUGGACAUCAUGGAAACAAUAUUAACACCACAAAAUGAUGUAUGAAGGUAAAUGGUUAGUGUAAUUAGAUGUCUAUGAGUAAAUUGGAAAACAGUUGCUAUAAUUAAAAAACUCCAUGUGACUGCCCUUUGCCACAGUUGUCAAAGGAAUUUAGGGCUUGGUUAUGCACUGGGAUACUUCCUGGAUAAACUGGAAAUUAGAGAUUCUGAUUUAGUGUAGUGUGUACCCAAAAGGUAACAAUAAUGACUGGAAUACUUUUGACAUUGUGGUGAUUGGAACAAGCUUCAUCAAAUGAUAGUUUAUACUGCUGUGGAAUUGAUUUAUUAGCUCCUUAAAAUUACUAUGGGUUUCAAAAGUGAAUGGUUCCUGUUGUUGCUCACAACUUAAAUUGGUUUGUAGUAACCUUCAUUUUUCUUUGUUUUAUCCUUUAGUGUGUCUUAACCACUAGAGGGUCUGGGACAUGGGUGUUAGUUUUUCUUGCCUCUGGUUUUUAUAAUGCUUCCCAGUUAGUUGACUUACACAUUCCUUGCUUUCGAAAUUUUCAGGAAUGAUGGGUUGUUAGCAUUUGUGGAGAACUUUGUGAAGGAUCACUUUUUACCUACAAUGUUUGUUGAUUACCGGAAAGGCGUUCAGCAAGCCAUAUCAAGUAAGUUCUACACACUAAUCCAUUUUUAGUUUUUCUUCAUCAAUUUCAUUCAAGCUUUAAGGUCAAGGAAUCUACAAUACUGAAGUCAAUAUAACGAUGAAAAGUUCUGCCUUAGUAUUACUUUGAUCAUAGCCUUGUGUUUUAGAAUUAAAGUAGUUAAAUACCAAUUUUCUUUAAAGCUCAUCUUAUAUAUUUACUCGUAAUUUUUAUUGUCUUUCAUUUGUGCAUUGAAGAUAUAGUUCCUCUGCAUUAGUAAUUCUUGAUUUCUGAGGACCAUAUUGAACAUGGUAGUUUUCAUAUGCAUUAUUAAAUUUUCAUUUAUCUAAUAGGAAUUUAUACCUGUGUUUCUCAAGCAUUAGGUGCAAUUUCUGGUUUUUCCAAAUCUUUUGAUUCGUGGAUACUGCGGUCAAUUAGUAAGGAGGCAGAAUCUUCAGUAUUAGAUUAUACCACAUCACGUUAUUUAUGUUUCACAUGUCAUAACAACCAUCGCCUCUUUGUCCUUUCACAUUGGGAGGGUAAAAUAAGAUUGUUCAGCAAACUGUCAAUGAAUCAACAAUAUUGUGGAGUGCAAUGUAAUUUGUAUCUUAUUUUAAGAAGUCUAACAUUCAUUAACUGCAGUAAGUAGAUUCAGAUAUACAUAAAGUAAGUAUAUAGAUCUUCUAUGCAUGAAUCUCAUGCAUAAAUAGCUUUCCCCAAACACUGUCAAAGUAGCACAAUGGGCUUAAUUCUCUGCUACAAAAGUUCAGGAUUCUUGAUAUCUUGCCAUUGGAGCUAUUUGCAAAUUGCCCUUGCUGUUGAUUAGGAGCCAUACUGGUUGAAAUUCUGAUAGGCUUCUCAGUAGAAGUGAAUCUGUCAAACUUUUGUUCUCUCUUUGUUUUAAGGGCCAUUGUUGACCUUUCUGGUUUCUAAGAUUCUCUUCAGAGCACAAUUUUGUUCCCUUUUUCUGGUUUUUAGAAAGAUCGCUUUGGUGGCUGAGAAUAAAUACUUAUCAGGUGGAAGUUUUUGUUUUAAAUAUUGAGGCUGUUCACUUAAUUUAUUGGUCUAAAUUCUCAGCAGUUUGACUGGAAAGGCCAGAAUUUGACAGUCAAACUGAAAUGGAGUGGACUGUAUAUUCUCUGAGAUAUUUUUCAUUUGUAAGUUCCGAGAGAGGCUAUUCUUGGAGAGGGGGUGGUUGUUGUGGACUUGUUGAUAGAAGUUAUUGGAUAUUGCCACGAGGUUGGCCGUCUUUUUGAACUUGGGCUUGUGCUACAUAGCAUCUGGAUGUCCUAUGUGAUGCGUGAGAGAUAAACAAUAUGUGUUGGAUUGGUAAAAAUUCACUUUUGGUGUUGGGAAAUUUAAAUCUGUUUGGAAAGAAAAGCAGUGAAUGGACUUCUGUGCAAGAGGCUGCAAAGGAAGAAGAAUUCAAUUACUGCUCUAAAAAUCCUUUAAUUCAAUUACUGCUCUAAAAAUCCUUUCUUUCUUGUGAGGGGGGUUUUUUGGACAUUAUUAAGCUGAAAUUGUAUUAGCUGCAUGAUGGGUCGUUUGUCAUUAAACCUUGUUUUUUGGAAAUCUCUAUGCAGGUCCAGCUGCAUUCCGUCCAAGAGCACAUGCAGCUGCUUGUUAUACACCAUCAAUUGAGAAGGGGCGGCCUGUCUUACAAGGGCUUUUGGCAAUUGAUUUCUUGGCAAAGGAGGUAGUCUUAGAUAUUCUUUAUGUCCUAUGAAAGAAAAAAGGAGUGUAUACAAUAGACGAAGUCAAACAGGCAUUUUUUGUCCAAGUCUUUCAACGCUUUGGUUACAAUAUUAGGGACAUUCCCUCUGUCAUUGUUUGAAAAGAAAGUUAUUUUGUAACUUGAUUGAAUUUACUUUGCUCUGUAGUGAUAAUGAAGUGUGUACUUUUCUUUCAAGUCAUUUUUUUGUCCCAUUUAAAUUGCGUUUAACCUAUAAACCUUUUAUUUCAGGUUUUUGGCUGGGCCCAAGCAAUGCCUAAAUUUGCUGGUGAUCUCAUGAAUUAUGUCCAAACUUUCCUUGAAAGGACAUAUGAAAGAUGUCGGACUUCAUAUAUGGAGGCAUGAGCUCUUUUCCUCAUUUUGUUAAAUUUUAAGCAUUUGUUGGGACCUUGGCCAGGGAAAUUUGUUUGCUACUCGUCUCUUUCUCUGUUCCUAGACUAGUUUUCAUUCUUUUAGAAAAUCUGGGAAACUCUUGGUUAAAAUAAUCUCUCAUUUUUGUGGCCUUCCUCAAAAGUCAAAUAUAUAAGGGCAACACCCUAGAUGUGUAAAUUUUAAAUGAAUGGCUGUUUCUUCUACAUCUCACCUUGUACGUUCAUAGCAUUCCAAAUAAGAAGAAGACCAAUAGUUUUCAUGUGUGUCAUCAUGCAUCAAAACCUCCUGCUCAAUGCACCUUGAGUAGUGGGGUUGUCAUGUAAAGUGUUUUGCAGUUUCAUCUGAAUCUGCAUAAUUCCAAAGUAAAUUGUUUCUGGUGGUACAUGUCUUGUUUGAUUAUGUCAAGGAUUUUCUUAUUUUUCAUUGCCUGGUAUUUUCUUUUGACAAUACUAUUCCUGGGUAAUAUAUCAGGCAGUUCUUGAGAAGCAAAGUUAUAUGCUCAUAGGGAGGCAUGAUGUUGAAAAUCUAAUGCGCAUUGAUCCAGCCAGUGCUUGUUUACCAAACUUACCUGGUCAGUCAAAUUUGGUCGGCAAUGCUUCUGAUGCUGAAACUGUGGAGUUUGAAAUGCAAAUGAGUGAUCUUUUGUUUAACUUGAGGCCGAUCAAGCAGGUAUCUGUACAGUAGGAGCCUAUUUAACAUUUUUACCUGUUGAGCUUUGGCCUCUUAUAUGCAAAUUAGACUAAGCCAGCAUCUUGAUAGUGAGCUACAUGCUCUGUUUUGAAUUUAAUUUUUGCAGGAGAACUUGAUUCGUGAUGAUAACAAACUUAUUUUGCUGGCAUCUCUGAGUGAUUCACUGGAAUACAUUGCGGACUCAAUUGAAAGGCAAGUUUUCCGCAUUUGUGCUGCCAUACAUGUGUGGUAGUCCCGUAUUAUUUUCCUUGAAAGUUUUGGUUAUCAUGCUUUUGGCAGGCAUGUGCUGUAGUAUUGUGUUUUUCAUACUACUUUGUUGGUAACUUUCAUGUGGAAAUAAACCCAUACAAUCGUUAUGCAAUUAUAUCAUUCACUUUGGUACAUUUUUAUGCCUAUUUUCUAAUAGAAGUCUCAAGUUCAUGUUGUAUUUAUGCUGAGUUGUUAUUUCAAUUUAGAAUAAAAAACCUGUCGCAUCAACUAUAUCUGUCACAUAUAUAGAUGGGCAUUGUAUUACCAAGAUUUUAUAUCAUCUGCUAUUUUGGUGAUAUUAAAAAAUCUAGCAAGAUAUCUGGCUAUAUUCUGCUAUAUUCUGAUGUGAAUGGAUGUCACUUUCUGCAUUGCAGAUGAGAUUUUCACAAGAUGUGCACACAUCCUUAUUUACUUCAUUAUGUCUCUUGCUAUUUUAGGUCGCUUACUUAUGUGCCAUUCACUAUGUGGUUGGUCCACAGGCUUUCUAGUCGUGUAUUUUCUCUGUUUAUGAAAUGGAAAAAGUGAAUAGUAUAAAUUAAACUCACCAAACAUGUUAAGACUCUUGGCCGAUGUUUUAUGUCUUACCUGAUGAGUUUCCCUAAUUAUCAGGCUAGGAAAGACAUCCAAGAAAGUAUAUAACCAAGUAGAAGAGAAUGGGAGGCUAAAAACUCCGCGUCAUAGUAGAACGACCAGUACAGCUCCUAAGGAUCUUGCAUCAUUUGCUGAGGAGUAUAGAAAACUAGCAAUUGAUUGCCUUAAAGUUCUGCGUGUCGAGAUGCUGCUGGAGACUAUUUUUCACAUGCAGGUUUGACCAUAUUUUGGUGAUUUCAAUAUUCUGUCAACUAAAACGGGUUUCUGCAAUCUAUUAAGCUUCUGUUGAUGUAGGAAAUGACAAGCCGGCAAUAUUUGGAUGACCAAGAUGCAGAAGAACCAGAUGAUUUUAUCAUAUCAUUAACAUCUCUGGUAUGUAUCACUGCUUUCCAUUUUAAACUGUGUGUAGAUGUCACCUUAUUGGUGCAGUGACAUCCAUAUGUGAUUCCUGGCUAGAAUUUUCUGAGCAGUCUGCAUUUACUCCAGCUUGAAGUAUAGCUAUGUCAGUUUUGUGAUCUUAUAGUGCCAUCUAAUUCAAGCGCCAAUAAUCUUGGAAAACUGCUUGGACCUGUUAUUUGGAUCAACCAAUAUCUGUCUUAGUUAUCAAUUUUCAUGAUAUGGUCUUUAUUAUAUGUAUUGGCAUGUUUAUGUGUUGAAGCACCUAAGACUUAUUUUAAUUUGCUUAUGAUCUAAGGCUGUAUGAAUCCUCAUGGCUGUUCUCUUUGCAAAUACUAUAAAGGACUCAGAAUCUAAAAAAUUAUGAUUAGAUAGAAUUUCAUGUUGUCUGUACUUAUUUUGGUGUAAUCUGAGCAUGGCAUAUGUGUCAAGUUGAUUGUGCUAUGGAAACACAAUAGGCAUCAAAAAACCAAACUUCCAUUACCUCCUAUCAGGUUUUAAUUUAGUUGUCAUCUUCUUUCUUUGAUUGGUAACCUCCUAUCAUGUUCUGAUUAUAUGUUACAAGUUUUUCCCAAAUGUUCUCAAUUUAUGCCAAGUUGAAUGAUGUCAUUCCAUUAUGUUUCUUUGGACAUAAUCCUUACCAUAAUUCUGCUUUUUUGACUGUUGUAGAUAACACGUCGAGAUGAAGAAAUGGCACCUUUCAUUGCCGAGUCGAAGCGUAAAUAUAUAUUUGGUGGAAUAUGUGGUGUUGCAGCACAUGCGUUUAUCAAGGUUUGCAAGUCAAAAUUCUUUCGUUUGCAGUUCCAGAUCAUAGGUUGGUAACAGAGUUCUUUGUUGCCUGUUAGGCUUUGACGGAUGUGACUUCUAUCAACCUUUUCGGGGUUCAGCAGAUAUGCCGGAAUUCUAUUGCCUUAGAACAGGUUUGUUUUGAUGAUUCUUUGCUCUUGCAAUGAAAUAGGAGUGUCAGAUUAAAUCUCGGAAAAUGAUGAUUAUCCUUCUCAGUUAAAUUAAGUCACACGUCACCAUUCCUUGAUUGUAGCUUUAUAAACUAUUAUAAAAUGAGGGUUUACUCUAGGUGUAUGUGAAGGUUUAGACUUGAUCGUCAGCUUUACGUGUUUGCAUGAUUUAAUCUGGACAUUAGUUGUCUAGUCCAAUGAUCGAAAUCUGCAAUACUGUUGCUUAUGGUUGGAGAGGAGUUCAGGAAAUAGAAAAAUCGAUGACUACCCAUUUCUUUCGUAUCUGUCAAGCUAAAAGUUAUCUGAUAAUUUACGGCCUUAUUGUCAGAUUCUUUGCUGAUGUUCUUUAUGGAUUGGGAAUUUUUGAAGCAGUUUCUAGGACUGUAGUACUUGUUUGAGAAUUACAAACCCCAAAGGCUACUGACCAAUUGGCCAAAUGCUGGAUAAACUAAAAUUUUGCCUACCCUUGUUAUAAUAGGGAGCAUAGCUGUAACCCAUGCAUGUCAGAUCUAAUUGAACUGAUUGCCCACAAUUGUCACAAGCCUAUUGUUACAUAAUACUGAUGACUUGUUCCCAAUCUAAUUCUGGUUCUCAAAACUUAUGCCCAUUUCAAUUCUGUUUCUGCUAUUUUAUAUAGCUGAUUUGUCCUAAUCGUUAUUGCAGGCUCUUGCUGCUAUCCCUUCAAUUAAUAGUGAAGUCGUACAGUUGAAGCUAGAUCGUGUGCGGACAUACUAUGAACUAUUAAACAUGCCAUUUGAGGUAAUAACUCAACUUUUUACUUGUAUCAAGGCUUAUGUUUUCUUUCAUGACUUUUCUGCUUUCUUUUGUCAAACAACACUAAUAUUAUCACUGUUGUACUACUCUUUACAGGCCAUGUUAGCAUUCAUCACAGAGCAUGAGCACUUGUUUACAGAUGCAGAGUGAGUUUUUUUUUUUUUUUUGGCAUUAGAUUUAAAAGUUAAUGCGCACCCCCUCUUAGUGAAAUUACAUUAUUCAAUUCUGCAGGUAUGCAAAUCUUCUGAAUGUUCAGGUGCCUGGGAGGGAUAUUCCUUUUGAUGCACGCGAUCGUGUGUCGGAGAUAUUAUCACGCUAGCUUGUUUAGCUUGUGCACAGUGAUGAAUCGCACAGUGGAAUUUCAGGUUGAUGUUUUUCAAGCUGUGGAGCUGAGCAGGCUCUUCAUUUUUUGUACGAUGCUGGCAUUUGUACAUAAUUCCAGGUGUAAUGGUGAUCAGUGUCGAUGAGGAAGCCAUUAUACUGAAAAUUCUAUGCCGUUUGGAACAAAUUUUGUGAGUAUGGUUUUUGGGGUUGUAGUAUUUGUCUGUUUAUAAUGAUUAGUGUAUUCUUUAGUAGCAUCAAUUGUUGGCUAUUUUUUUCUUUUUUUUCCCCCUUUUCUUUAACGGUUAUCAUUUUGUACGCAAUAAGUGAGGAAAUUUGUGCAGACUUGACCCGAAAAGCUAAUAUUUUGUUUUUUUGAUCAGUGGCAGUUCACUUGUCACGGGCUUAGCCUUGACAAAAUAUCAGCGAACUUUACACUGGCAAUUUUCCAGAUAAAGAUGGGGAUAAUCCGUUUAUGUUGGUAGAGAUUUACAAACCAUUUGAUCAAAGUAGAAUUAUGCUCAAGUCAUCCUAACAUACUAAAUAAGGAUAGAUUAUGUAAAGCAUCCCAGACCAAGAAAUUUCAUAUCUGCAGGAAUAUCCAAGAAUGGAAAGGCCUUUCGACCCAAAAUACGUUUCCAUCCAAAAUGGUAGGAAAAAAUUUUUAUUAUUUCAGGGUUUGAUAGACAAGUUAGAACAUAAUAUUUACUCAAUUUACAAUGUUCAAUUUCUAAUGUUUGGUAUAAUCAAUAUUUAGAUGUUAGAAUGAAAUAUACUAAUUACAAAUUUGACUUAAUUCCCUUGGAUUAGAUUAUAGGACAUGAUACAUUAUAUUAGUUUCCGUUUUAUUUGUUCUGCAAUAGUAUUUGUCUAUUUACGUGAAGUUUUGAUAUUUUUGCUUUAAAAAUAAAUGAGGAUUGAUAUCAAAAUUCGUCAAUUAUAAUAACUGAUUCAUUCUAAUAUAUAGAUUUUUAAGUUAAAAUUAAAAUUAUAAAAUAUAAAUUACAUGAAACCAAACAAUUAUAAUUUAUUUUUAAUUUAUUUUCAAUUUUGACAUGAGAUUCAAAAAAUUCUUGCACAAUUGUUCAAAAGUCAAAGAAUAAAGUAUCUUAAAACAUUUGCUUCCUAGUAUAAAGGAACAAUUAUUCUAAAUACAAGGAAAAUUAAUUAUUAUGAAAAAUUACAUUCAAAUAUUAAUUGAACUUACAAAUAGCCAAAGAUAUGGUGAUGCAAUAUAAAAUUUAUGAGGAUAAAUUUGAUGUCUUACUAUUUAGGCAUUCUAAGAUGAAGGUGUAAAGAUCUUUCCCUAAAUUCUUUUUAAAGAAUGAGAUUCUAGAAAAAAAAUAGUUGGAAUGAGCAUUCUAGGAGGAAAAGAUUUUCUCACCUGAAUGAAUCAUACUAAACACUGAAAUAGAAUGGACAAGUUGGAAAAGUCUUUCCUUUCUAAUCUAUUCCUACGCACUAAACUGGAGGUAAAGUCAAUAGAGAAAAAAAAUAAAAUUGAAGUUGCUCUCUCUCUAGUUUAAGAAUUUUAAGUGAGAAAUGGGACAAUUUUAGACGUGAUUGUCAUCAUAAUUUUGCUAUCUACUGCAUGGAGGAUAAACUAGGUAUAUAAAAAAUUUUCCUUGAGCUUUGAUUUGCUCUUUCUAGGCAAAGCGGGAGGAAAAGGAAAAGUUUUGUAUCCUUCCCCUUAUCCCAAAAUUUUUUUAGUAGCCUCUUUUUCCUUACCUCCCAAAGUGCCCAAUUUUGUUUCAACCCUUUUCUUUUAUGCAUGUUAAGUAGACUGUAUAAACAUGCAGCAUUUUGAUUGUACAGUCGUCAUUGAUUGCCAUUAAUACCUUGUGUGACAAUUUACAAAAUUCUUGUCCACAGUCCGGACCAAACACCGAGAGUCCACCCCCAAUACGUACAGUGCAUAUGUCCAACAAAUUAGAAAGGGGAGGGGGCAGCUUGGCUCAGCACAAUGAAAGCAUUACAGGCCAAUUCCAGAUCAAAUAAAGAUGUAAAUGAGCUGCCAAAGCAAAUUUUGGUUAAGAGAAUUGUCAAGUCAUGGCUGAGUAAUUAAGUAAAGCCACUUUUGCUGUGAGAGACACUUCCGGUUUGGACGUCUUGGCCAAGAAGAGUUUGAGUUAGCAUUUGACGAUUACCCACAUGAUUUGGUCAAUUGGAUUUAUGGGCUUGACUUGUAGUAAGACUGUAACAAGCAUCGCCUCAUUCCAAUCUUAAAAGAAAUAGAGAUUUAAAAAAAAAAAAAAAAAAGCAGUAUCCUGUUAAAAUCGAUGCAUGACCUAUGCUACUUAGCGUCAACUUUGUUUAUAUGGCUAAUUGAUCAAAGGCUUGAAAAAGCAGGGUAAGUAAUUGGCAGGGUAAUUUCAUUUGUUAUGCUUUAUUGCUUGGAAUUCGUCAAAAUCUUUUACAUCAGCCAAAAAUAUAUAUAUAUAUAUAUAUUUCCACCUCAUACCCGGGACAGUACCUGUAAAAGGAGUGUGAUUGUAUUUGGCAGCACAGAACAGAAGACCUACUUAACCAUGUAAAGAAAUGACCAAGAAUCCUAAAAUUGUUUUGUAUAUACAUCCUGCUUCACAGUGCAUCAACAGCAGCUUGAAAUGCUGAACUCAACUUCAGUGUCCUGUUCGCCAAGUUGCGGAUGUCUUCUCUCGAAGACUCCACCGAUAUUCGACUCAGUUCUUUCAAUCCUCCACUGGAUACAAAAUCCUUAGCAUUGUAUUCUGUGGAGAUCAGCAAGUUCACAUGCAAUGUCAGUUUACAUUGUAGUCUUGCGAACGUGGUAAUAAUGUCCAUCAAACUUGGAGAAACAGAGACAAGCACAAAAUGGAUUCUGUGAAACAUCAGAUGAUAGCUGGAAGAAUGCACUUGACAGCAUUUUGCAGUUAAAAUCUGCUAAGUCCAUUUAUGGUCAACUUCCAUUUAUGGAUUGUGCAACAAUCCUAAGUCCUUAGAUAAUCAAUUACACCAUGAACUGUUCAAGGAAAUAGUUACCAUUUUGUGCCAAAUGACAAAGAGCAAGUUCUAUGUGACGCCGAGCUGAACUAGAAGUGGUAUUGGAGUUGGCGAUCAACCAUGCUAGAGCAUUAUCUUCCACUAAUGGUGAACGCCCUCUCCUAUUUCCUGCAGUAGAUAAAGCUUCAGAUGCAUGACCUCUGUAAUAUAGUAUACAUGUUACAAUGGAGAUAAUAGCCAAUUUUCAAACCUUGAAGUAUUCCUCGAGAUUCACACUUUGCAAAGUUAGCCAUUCCUCUGGCUACCUGAGCUAUGACAUCAAUAUUCCCAUAUCUAGCCAUUUUGACAAGAGCUUUAAUGGCCGCAUCUUCCCUCAGGAUUACAUGUAAGCUUUCUGUUAUAUCAGGAGCAUAAGACAUCAGUAACUGAUACCUUCUUAUCUAAAGCCUCAGAAGCAUUUUUCUUGUCCAAGAUAUUUAACCAAACAAGUACAAUGUAUCCAUUAUGGCAUUUUAAAACUUUUAAACUGAAUUUCAACCAUACAAGAAGACUCAGAUAAACUAGUAUAUACUCCAGCUGGAGAUGAAAUAGAUAAAGCAAUAAAAUGUCAUCCAUGGGCAAUAAGAUUACCAUUUCCACACAAAUUUGCAAUUGCUCCGGCUACCAUUCUCAGAGUUUGUGGGUCAUCACUUUUGGUAGCUGUAUUUGCAAGAAGCCGAACACCAGCUUUACUUGCUAUUAGGCCUUGAUUCAACUCUGAAGAAGUUAAAUGUUACAAAUAAGUCACAUCUUACCAUACAUAUGUUAAACAAAUCGGUCACAUCUUACCAUACAUAUUUUCAUGUACCAAGAACAUACCACAAAAGCCUCGUCUCAAAAUUAAAACACAAGACAUACUAACACAAACAUGCUCAGGGAAAAAUUAUAAGGGAACUAGAACUAAAUCCUGCUUAUCUACUUCUACAUAUGGAAGGAACGGAAUAUCUGUAAACACGACCAGUGUUUUUGUAAGAAAAACAAAAUUCCUCCAUUUUGAGAAUAUUUGCAAAAUAUAAAAAGAAAAUAAAAAUAGAGAACUUGAUUAUCUUGCAAGUUAUGAAAGGCAAAUAUUUAGGGAACAUAUAGAUGAGAACAGACACGACGUUUGAGAGAGAGAGAGAGAAGAAACUAAGCUAAAAGCCAAGUAGAAAUUGCAUUAUACGCCUGGGGUGGUUUUAUGAAUUAAGAAUCUUAUUCAGUUCAGUAUGGAGUUAUCUGUCAUUUUGGGGAAGAAGAUUUUUGUGGCUACUCUCUCUGUUAUCUCCGUUCUUCUGUUUUUCAGUAACACUAAGAUCCAGGAAUGACCUGGCUGUAAUGUCAUUAGAAGCUUCUUAGGUAUAACGUCAGAAUCUGUCCCUCAAAUGCAAUAAUGCUGGUUAUCAGCUAACACACAUGCCAAAAUAUCUACCAGCAUCAUACCAAUAUUUGAAUCACGUCAGUUGGAUUAUAAUUUGAUCAACUGUUUCACUCGUACCAAAUCUAAAUUGUUCUCAGCUGGUUGUAGCCAAAGUAAAGCAGCAGAAAGUUAGCCAUACUUCUCGCAUGAGACUAAACUCCUUAGCAGUGUUCCAUUAAUCAGAACCUCUAAACACAACCCACUGAAAGGGGCUACACAGAUAUGAUUCUACUAUUUCUUAGUGUUAGACUGUAAGUAACAUUGUUAGAAUGCUCAUACUUGCUUUUUUUCAUGUAUGCAACUAAAUAAUAUAGAUAUAUGCAAACCAAAAGAAGUAUUAAAUCAAGAGUUCCAUUAUUUCCCAAAAGACUGCAGCUGUUAAUUAAUUAGAUGGACAUUUACCGGCCAAAAAACCUCAUCUAGCAAAUAAUACUUUUCCAUAUUACUUCCUUUUCUUCUUGUUACCUUUUGUUCAAUCUAUUUCUCACGAAGCAAUGCAUCUAGGAGAAAUGCUUAUUGCCACUUAUAUUGGCAAACUUUCUUGCCCAAACAACAACUUAGAACCAAUUAUCAGAAAGGUGAUAAGAACUUAAAAUGCUGCAAGGGAGCUCCUGUUGAUUGAAGGGGAGAGAAUAACUCACCAACAUCUAAAUCUGAGUACAUUACACAGAUAUAUAUUUACAACAGAAGACAGCCAAGAUGUACAAAUACCAUUCAUGGCCAAAUUGGCAAUAGCACCAGAAGCCACCCUGAGUAUGGUUGUAUUCUCUGAUGACUGCAGCAGCAUGAGCAGUGCAUCCAGACCCCCUUCAUGAACAAUCCUCUCUUGGUUGCUCUCUAUAUUGAGUGGUAAGCAUGAGAAAGGAACUAAAGAUUUUGAUCUUUGUCAAGUUUGAGGAUUGCAUGAUGCGUGCAGUAAGUCUAACAUUUGUAAUCUAUGCCAAAAAAAACUAUUAAUUCUUGCAUUUGUGAUGCUGUCUUAAAGAUUUACAAGAAGUGCAAUGGAUAUCUGAAUUUGAUUCAAGUUCUCUUUGUGCCUAUAGAACAUUAAAUUUUACUAAAAAAGCAAAAGUUAAUUAAAUUUUCACUUGAAUCUCUUUAAGUUUAGAUUUAACUAGACUGUUAGCAAGUUUCAUUUUUCAAAGUAAGAUAUAUUUUGAAGUGUACUAGUGCCUGAACAAAUUUGCCAAAUUUAUUAACCAUGUUUAACGGUGAGAAUCAGUAUUUUUGAAAAUAAUAACAAACCAUUUUCCAGACCUCGGAGACUCUCACUACUUUUUCUUACUUCAUUUGGAACCUCAGGAUAGGAGAGCUUUUAACUCAAUUUGCUGAAAAACUUAACAAAACAGUUGAAAAAAAAUUGCUGCUCUGCCUUUUGGAAAAAAUGCUGUGAAAUAUUGAUAUCAUUGGGAGUUCAGGCUUUGGAUAUUUGUAUCCAAAGUUUAUAACGUCAAAACCAAGCAUUGAGCACCGGAAUAGUGAUAUAGAAAGUUGAAAUAUUAAGUAAAACGAUAUUUUAUCUGAAAUGUACAAUAGGUUUUACAAUAGCUUGUGUCUUCCAAUAGAUUUGUCAAAAUGUAGAUGAUUUAAGUGGGCGUGAUUUUCAGUUCUUAACUGGACCUUCUUUCCAACACUAAGUACCAUCCAGAAGUCAAAGAUGAGAUAACUAUUUUAAGAUUUUAGGUAAACUUUUGAUGAAUGGAUUAUGACCCAACGUCAAUAUAAAGAUUUUUUUUUUUUUUUAUUUAUUGCAUGCAGUACAUCCAUCAAGAACAGAAUUGCUUUACCAUUAGGUCCUAAUUGAGUGAUUUUGAAAAUAUUCAGUAGCAUGUAUGUGGGUGCAAGUCUUUGUCCAGAGAGUAACAUAAUGAGAAACGCUAAUCCUGCGAGUAUUGCCAGAAUUUAUGGAAACACAGUCAGAGAAUCUGCCACCCGGUCCUGAGAAAUUACUCUGCAAAUGUUCAUGACUAUCCACCACUUUAGACAUCAGAUUACUGAUUAUCCAAGCAUUCCCGACUGGUCAAAAGCUUCUUUUUGUGUUAUGUCCAGUUUCAUCCAGUUGUUGUAUUUGUUAUAGUUUUUGGUGUACAUUUACAUUAUAUGUUGUAUUGAAUAUAUGUGGAACAUUUACUAUGUAGACCAACUUUUCAACAUAAUGUAAUUGUACACCAAACAACGCAAUAAUUUCAAUAACAGCACAACACCCAAUGAAAGAACAAUUGCAUCUGCCCCAAAUGACUCUGUAUGGUAUGCAUGUAGGUAGUCAAAGACCUUGACACUGAAGAGUUAGAAAUAUUACCAUUAUCUUCAGUUAGCAAAAGGAUCAAUAACUAAAAGUUGCAAACCCAUCAGAGUUGAGGAAAAGAUAUGCAACUUAGACAGAAAAAGAACAAAAAAGAAAAGAAGAAGAAGAAGAAGAAGAAAAAUAGCCACAAACUUUAAAACUCAAAACAGAAGCUUUUGACAUUCAAAAUUAAUAUCAAGUAUAUUUCUGUGCAUACCUUCAGCGGCAAGAUUGGCUACCACUUUCACCGCAUGAAUUUGGACAUCCAACUCUUCACAUGUUAGCAAGGAUAAUAUCUUUUGGAGGCCAACUGAAAGUGAAAAGAGAGAGAGAGCAAGAGAAUCAUCUUUCAAGCAAGACCAAUGGAACUUUCAUUUGCCUAUUGUCAACAGAAUUUAAUUUAUUCUUAUUAUGCCAAUUUAGCGUAGGAGGUCCCUAAGUUGUCAGAUCACAGACCUUGGCAUCACAAUCCUCCUACUGCUUCUCGUUAUAUGCACUCGAUGUCAGACUAUUGCUCUAAAUGUAAAAGAUUGGAUAAUCACCAUCACAAACUCCCAAAGGCCUAUCUAAAUAUGGUGCAAUAAGAUGACACGCCUGAACAGACAAAAGCCAGAGAAACUUACCUUCUUCACAUAUCUUCGCAAUACUGCUCCUUUGGCCAAAUGACGAAGGUCCUCUGUUCAAUUUUUCUUUUGUAUAUGACCUCUUCUCCUGCAAGUCGCAGAAAUUUUAACCACCUAAUUUUUCCAGGGAAUAAGAGCCCAGAAGUUGCAACUGACCUCAAACCCAUCUUCAGAUUCUGGCACAACCUUCUUGAUAUUAACCAGAUCAUUUUCAGCAGCCUUCCUUCGCAUUUCCUCUACUUUGAGUGCUUGCCUCAGGGUAUGAAUUUCAUCAUUUAAUCUACCCUAAAAAUCAAUGUUGACAGGGAUUGUAGCAGAUUAAAUGAAGUCUACACCAUCAAGAUGGUUAAUAACUUAAUCCUUUUCCUUGUUUGUGUUACGAGUAGAUCAGAUUAUUCUUUUUGUUUUCAUUCCUUAUGUCUUCAUAUUCUUUUUACACCAUUUUAAUUUUAAAAUUCUCAAAAUUGAGAGCAAGCUGGUAGAAGUGCUGUUCUAAAAUUUAACCUGAACCGAGAAGUUCCUUUCAGUGGAUCUAGGAACAAAGGUAUUAAUAUAUAGCAUGAAUCUCAUUUUCCAGUGAUACCUUUUCUGCUUCCAGAUCAUUGUGUUCUUUUUUCAGAGAUUGCAGUUCAUUGCCAGUUGCCUCAUGCACUUGAUGCAUUUCUUGUAAUCUAGACUUAAGCUCUCUGAUCUCUUUUUGCUCCUCAAUCUAUCAAAAAAGAGAAGCAGACAAAAAAAGGAAAAAAAAAUCACCAGGGAAAAAUUGAUUCCAGGAGUUAAAUGGCUGUAGAGAUGAAAAGGUAAUCAGUGGCCUUAUGACAAGUUUAUAUCCAUUCAAACAAUAAUCCAUGAGAACCUGGCAUUAAGCAAAACAAGUAUCAGGUGGAGGAUAACUCUUUUCAAUUAAAGGCAUAACAGUUACCUGGACUGAGUUUUGCUGCCCACUUGAGAGCUUUCUUAAUAUGUUUAACUGCUCUUGUGCAUCAAUAUACCGUGCAUGCUCUUCAUUGAUCUCCCGAGUCAAAGAAGCUAUUUUCCCUUCAUACAUCUGAGUGGUCUCUGCAAGUGUCUUCUGGUAUCCAGAGUUUUCCAUCUGAACAUGCUAAAAAGAAGGAAAAAAAAAAGGAUCAAAUCUGUCUCUCUGCUAAAACUACUGGGAAUAAAAUACUAAAUGUUCUUCAAAGAUUUAUCACAACGUUACAGGAUCAGCAAUUCCUCAAAAUCAAUUUGAGCAUGGAGAAUGUAGAUAUUUAACCUGCAUUAAGAUCUGAUUAUCAGUUAGUUUUUUCUUCAGUUCUUCCAAAUGUCCUUCAGCACUUUCAGCUAGUGCAUGUGAAUUUUCUGAUUGUUUCAUCAGAUCAGCUAAUUCCUUCUCAUACAUUUGGGUGGUAUCCGCAAGCACUUUCUGAUAUGUAGAAUUUUCUAGCUGCUGUUGCUACUAACAGACAAAACAAAAACAUUAAUUUGUCUAUUCACACCAGAAAAUAUGACAGAAGAAAAUUUCAGUGCUGAACUUAUUAGGAAGAAACUAAGGAUAGAAAAGAGAACCUAACUUAGAUAUGACUUUACAAUUGGUGGAUGUAAAUCCAUAUCCAAAGCUUGGAUGAACAAACAAGUUGCUAUGUAUAUUAUGGUCAAUAUGAGGUCCUUUUGAUAUUCACAGUAGCACUACCAACACACUUGAAGGCCAGAAUCCUAGCAUUGAGUGGCAUACCAGUGCAGGGUGGAGAGAGAGAGAGAGAGAGAGAGAUCAUUUACUGAAACUGUUCUUCUGUAACAUGGUUGUCCUUUUCUCUCAAAAAUAUUUCCAAACUGAUUCAGUUGACAGCAUAGAAAUCUCCAACCAAUUCAUGAUUUUACAUGUCACUUGACCCGUGAUCACCCUACCAUUAGUUGUUCAAAAUUUUCAGAUAUUUCCAUGGUUUUUAUAGAUAAUUAAUUUGGAGUCUAUAUUCCAUUUUCCUCAGAUAGUUUUACUGAUAUGGUAAUGAUAGAAAAGAUAUUUAGACUCAGCGAUGAUCUGCCUCCCUCAUUCUUAAAAAUACCAGAUAGAGAACAAGUUAAUCUCAACUUGAUUUGUAAUUUUCUCCACCAAUAAAGUCAGAUCCUUCUGCAACCAUGUAAGGCAAAAUCUCUCCUCAAAUAUGCCUGUCAGUCUGGGUUCAACUAGCAUUCAUGCCUCUCAGUUACAAAAUUAUGGUGUUUUCUUGAAUCAAUUUCUCUUUCUGUUCAUGCUAAACAGAAAGGCAUAUGUUUUGUCCAAAUCCUGAAUCAUCUAAAAACUUGCACUGCUCUAAUUAAUCCAGUUCAAAUAAGUUAAAUUUCAUGUGAAACAUGCCCCAUCUUGUCAAAAAUCAUAUUUUGAGUUAUUGUGAUCUAAUGUCCUUAACAACGACAUACUUGUAUCUUACAUGCUCUAGCAGUUGCAGAGAGCCCUGGCCCCUUUAAUUGGUUCAUUUCUAUUUAUCUAACACAUCUUUUGCUUAUAGUAGUAAGUUAGAGAUUCCCUCUUGCUGUCACCUUCAUUUACAUGUUCCAAAGCCCUACUAAGUCAUUUUAGUGCCGCAAAGCUUCUUUGCAUAAAGAAGAAAUAUGUACUUUGUUCCGCAAAGCUUCUUUGCAUAAAGAAGAAAUAUGUACUUUUUUCCCUUCACUUCUAAAUGUGAAAACAAAGUUCAUCAAAUAAAGCUCUACAACCACAGAACUCAGAUGCAUAUCAACUACCAUAACACCAUAAACUACACAACUCAUGUUUUUAAAAUCUACUUUUGAUUAUUGGUUCUAGAUGGAGAAAGGCUUAUUAUGUGAUGAGCAUUUGUGCAACACCACUUCACAAAAUCACCAUUUUCAAGUUUGUAAACACCUUUUCUGCAAGCGAGAAAAGACCCCAUAGCAUUAGUAUCAAUAAACAUCCAAGUGAAGUGGAGUAAAUGGCAGAAUUGUUGAUAAGUUCUUUUGCAACAAAUCCAAAACAAAAGAUACCUUGCUGAGCUUUAAACUCAUUUCUAGGCUAGCAACUUCAUCUCUCAUUACGUCAUUAUAAUUUUUCUGCUGAGACAAAUCAUCUAAAACAUCUUUCAACUUCUGUGCCAACUGAGAAUUCUCCUUCUCCAGCAACUGCAGUCAAGUAACGUUAUUGAGAAGAUUUCAUCUAAAGUGGAAACUAAAUAAAGAAGCUGCUGAAACAGAAAAAUACAGCAGAACCUUAUCUAGCAUAUAGUAUCUCACAUUAAGCCAAUCAAGAUAGAAUGCAAAGAGAUCUCUGGGAUUUCAUGUUGAGUAACCAUGAAGUAGAUGAUUUCAUUACCUUGUUAUUCUUCAUACUCUUUUCAAGUUGUGCAAUCUCAUCAUGCAUCAGAUCAUUAUGGUCUUUUAGGCUUUUGAGUUCUUUUACAAAAUCUUUCAUCCUGGAUUCUAAAGAAGCAUUAUCCUGCUCUAAAAACUGCAAUGGAUUACAUAUAAUGAGAAGCUUAACAUUGCAUUUUUUAAAGAUGCUGCUGAACCAAAGCUAUUUGACUAAUGAGCUCAACAAGAGUUGGUGUACAUAUUGGAAAUGGAAAGCAAACACAAAAGGACAAACAAGUACCUCAGACCUGGAAGCCAAACUCUUUUCUGCUUCAGCCAAUGAAUUUUGGUAUUCUCUAAGCUUGAUUUCCAUUUCACUUCUGUAAUUCUCCCUCAACUUUUGCUGCUUAUCCACUUCUUCAGUAAGGUGGUCAACUUGAAUCUCAAGCUUCCGGCAUAAGCUUUCAUAAUCAAAUUCUUCUUUUAGCUUUACUGCAUUUACAAUUUUCAUGGCCUGCAAAAGUUAGUAAAAUUACAGAUCAUGUACACUGAAAUACAUAUAAGAAGCUGCGAACAAGAUUGCCCACAAAAUAACCAGAGUACACAAUCACUCAUUUUGCCCCACUGUUGUUGCUGUUGACAACAGCUUCAUCACUCAUGGGCCCAGAAAUAAGCAGGCAAUUCUCCACAAGGACAAAAUUGAAGCAAUAUUAUGUUGUUUUUUGCUUGAUGUGUACAAAUUUUACACGGAGAUGUUAAAGCAUUCACAGUCAAUAUAUAAGAUGAAGAGAUAACGAAUCUCUAGGUUUUGUUUGCAAAUUAGAGACGGAAGAAGAGGGAAGAAGUGGGCUUUGUAGGAACAGAAUGAAUUAACAUGUAAAGCUGAGAAACUCCUAAUCAAAUUCAUCAAGAAUAGAGACAUGAAAUAUAGUCCACCAGGCAAAUGAAUGCAACAUGCUCUUCAAGGAAUCCACUUUACUAGAUGAGUUAUAAUUCUUAUGGCUAUUAAAAGUGAUUUCAGGUACCAGAAGUGAUGUAUGAUAAAUCUAUUUGGUUAAAAACACAGAGGCUACUCCAUGUUCCACCAGUAUUUGUCUCACAUGAAACAUAAUGCUAUAGUUUUUUACUGCAGAAAAUAAAAUUCAGAAAAGGACAUGAUGGCGAAAAAUGUCUUGGAAUAUGUAAACGUGUAUGUUUAGAAUUUCGUACUCGUGAACACCUUGGCAACUAUAUACUCAACUCAAAUUGGAAAUUUCAAGCACAUUGUCAUGGAGAACCUUCAAAUGGAUAGGAAUUGUAACUUACCCGUUGUCCAAACAUUAUAGUGCUUGAGGUUUCUGCAUGAUGACGAGAAGAUGGCCCUAUAGUUACUAUAAGUGAAGUCCUCGCUGAACCUGUUUGUCAAAAUCACGUAAAUUUUGGCACAAAAAACCAACGGAGUUGUAUAGGAAAUGAAAAGUUUAGCUUCGAAAAUUGAUGAAUAUCUUAUGAUGCAAUAGCAAUAUCAAACUGUCAACAUUAAGAACACAGACUCUUUAAUAAACUAAGAGCGCUUCAUGUCAAUAACUUCCAUCUUGUAAUCAAUAUCAACCCAUUGGUCCAUGCAACCUUGUGUCCUCCAAAAGUGAAUUAUACAAACUCUUUCUUUUUUAUCAUCGUCUCCACAGGUAUUGCAUGUUUGAUAAUACAUUUCCACUGUUAUCGAUUGAAAAUGAGAAGUUACCAUAGAAUUUUCUUUAGUUCAACAAACCUGAGAAUUGCUUAUGCAGUUAUAAAUGACAGAAUAUGGCAGUAACGUUGUUUGCGUGUUGUUCUCCAAGCUACAAAAAGAUUAGCCAUUGUCUCUCUCUCUCUCUCUCUCUCUCUCUCUCUCUCUCUAGGGGAAUUUGUGAGAAUAGUCGUCAAUGCAAAGUGAAAUUACUAGACAGAAAAUGUUUCAGAACAAUAAUGACUCUCAUAAAAAUACAGCACUCAAAAUUCAGAUCUUACCUCCAAAUGAAUCACGAAGCAAUCUGGUUAGUUUAGAAUCUCUUGUGGGAAUAUGAGGACUAUUUUCAGCCAGUGCAUUAAUACAUUUUCCUAAAGAAGUAAGGGACAGAUUGAUAAAUUUAGCCUCUUCACGCAAGUGACCUUCACUCCCUGGAACAUGAAAAAUGACACAGAGAAAUUAGUGCCAUUAAGGCAAUCAACCAGAUGAAACAACCAGGCAAGCCAGUGAGCCCCCGAGUAUGGACUUGACCAUGUAAACACACCCAUAAACCUUGUUCUAUCAUUUUGUCGUCCAAAGAAAAAGAAAACAGAUAAAGAUAAAUGAUGAGUAAGAAAAGAGCUUUAUUCAGCUUUGGCGUAGAGAAUAUACCAGAUUUAUCCAAUCGCUCAGAUCCUGCAAGAUCAACUAUGAGCAGCUUGCUUUUCCGAAUUGUUGGAACAUGAUAUCCUGGUCUACCUGUUUUUUUAUCUACUUCUGUUUCCCGUAAAGAGAUGUCCAAUCCUUCUUGCUCGGGUACAGAUCUACGGAUAAAUACCUUGGGAAGAAGUUAUGUGUCAGUAGCUUACUAAAGGGACAAACAAAUUUUCAUGAUUAAAACAGAAUAUAUGGAAGCAAAAUGCAGUGGAAAAUCCUUGUUAUUAAAUGUGUUCUCGAAUAUUUUUAAAGAACUACCAAAUUGAUGAGGAAAGUUACAAUCUAUAAUUACCAUAAGAAUUGCAUGGCUGCGUGAUGAUUCUGUAUUUAAUUUUGUAUUAGCUGCAUGACGGUUUGCUUCACCCAUGUGCAGUAGUUGUACAAAUUGGUCCAUGCUAUUUAAUUUUACAACAGUGGCACCAGGGACUGAUACUUCUCCAGUCCUUCCAUCCUCAACGAUCGGGAUGUUUGUCUUUUCAGGUGCAAGCAAAUCUUGGAUAGAUUCCAUAUAAAGCUGUGAAACAACGUCUUCAGUGGUUAGCAGUGCAAAUCAACUAUUGGAUUGAGUCGUGUGACCAACAUGUUUGAAUACUUAACAAGUAAAAAAAUUUCAACACCAAGAUGACAAAUGUGUACAGUCAAAGUCUGAGAGUAUAAAAGACUACGAUCAAAAAAUUUAACUGAAAUGAUAACAAUAAUAUUUGGAAGUAUCCGAAAUGAAACAACAAAAAGAACAAACAGGUUAACAGGUUCAUCACCAUAAUUUUCAGUACCUGAAGGUAUGAAAUUUCCACACAAUCAGAUGUGGGAGAUGUAUUUGUAGUUAUGUCUUCUAAAGCUCUAACCAUGAUACCACGCUUGGAAUCAUCGUCUUUACCCACUCUACCAAGGGUAUAAGUCUUCCCAGUGCCUGUUUGACCAUAUGCCAUCACUGUCCCGUUGUAUCCAUCCAACACACUCUGCAAAAGUGAACGGCACCUCCUCUUUCGUGUCAAUAUCUUGUUCCAAUCAUCUCAAUAAGUUCAUUUCUUUUACAAGAAUUUAAAUGCUUGCUUUAAAGAAAGAAAAAUCAAAAUUUUUAUGAAUGGAAAGAAUUACCCUUUAAUUUUUGCAUGUUUAGCAAUGAUACCUCCACAAUUCUGUAUGGUAGAUAAGUUGCUGAAAGCAUAAAAAAAAAAAAAAAAAAGACUCGCCUAAAUAUAAAGUACAUGAAUUUUGCCAAUGUAUCCAUAUUUUGAAAAGAUAUAUUUCCAGUUUCGAUACAAAUUCUCUCAGAAGCUAUGAACUGGAAAGAAUAAUGUAUGAGCUGAUGUUUUCAAUAGCUGGGGGUUCAUACAAUGACGACUAGGAUUAUGGGUAUUAUACCCCCAAAAAGACCCAACUCCUUAUCGAGGCAUAAGCCCCAAAACCUGCUAAGUAAUAUACCCAUUCUCUAUUUUUUAUUUGAGCUGGCUGGUCCAGCAUUUAUACAGCGUUUAUACAGAUUCUCACCUUCCUUCGCAAGCAUAUUUGUGCUAGUAGACUCUUAGAUUAAUUACAGCGGUAGAAAAUACAAAAUAUAUCUGCCAUACUGAACUGAGAAAUAAAUUGAAUGAAGCUGAAAAAGUUGCUGCCGAGACAUAAAAAGCAGAGCAUCCGAGGUACAAACUUCUAAUAAAUGCAUGCAACCUUUUCUUUCCUAAUUUCUUUAUUCCUGAAUUGAUCAUAUCACCUAAGCAGUCUUGAUUCUUCCAUCUUUUACACCUUUCAGUUAAAUUCACAGUUAAAAUAACAUUAUACAUUUUUAGUAUGAAUUAUUCCAAUUUUUCUCUUAAGCAAAAUGAACUGAGUAUUGGAGAAAAAUCAGAGAAACAGAGUCACAAACAGAUAAUGGAUGUAUUCCAAAACCACGAUGCUUUGCGCUCUGCUGAUACUUACCUCAACAACCGAUUUAGCAACCACCUCAUAAACACGCUUUUGAGACGCACUUGUUGCAAAUACUUCAUCAAACCUAAAAUACUCAGCACUCCAAUUGUUUUUUCUCAGCUUUAACUUCUUGAGCUGCAGAACGAAAGACAUCUUAACUUCUUGGAUUAAAUAUACAGUGUGCAUGGUGAACAGCCACGAGAAGGAAGCAAUGAAGCAGACAGGCACACACAGCGAUUCCUGCACUCGGUUAAAUAAACUAACGCAGACAAAGAACGGGAGUGGCUGAAACAUAAGGAAAUGCAAUCAUCUUAAAAACCAUAACUUGUAUUUAUGAUCAGCACAAAAAGGAUGUUUGUUAUAUGUCAUAGACUCGUAGUUGCAUACGUCUGCAUAUUAAUCACCUCUGGCUGCACUUCAACACAAUCAGGAUAAUCAGCAUCUGAAAGAUCUGCUGCAAUUCUUGGACGAAUUCUGACAGCAACUCUUACUCUUCCAGGUUCUGCAGAUAUUUCAACAUUUUUAAUCAAUUUCUUACGCUGCAAACUGACUAUAAACCAAAAAAAAAUCUCAUAUCAGACCAAGGAUCAAACACCCUAAAAAAAGAAAGGCUGUAAAUGUUGUAAUCAAUGCUUGAUUCGAAACCAGGAUAUCUUUACACGUGGCCACAUACAGAGAUGUUAUUCACCUUCUUCAGAUGGUUUAAAUGAAGUUUCUUGUGUACUCAUAUUUAUGCUGCUAAACUUCUAGUAAAAAUGAUAGAGUUCAUCUAGUAACAAGCAAAGAAGGGAUCAUGUGCAUUGUGCCCAUACUGAAAUCAGAUACAAGUUUUAUAUGGCUCACAUUUACGUUUUUUUAACUUAGAUUCCUUAAGGGGAUCUUCUACAACAAGCAAUAAAGAUUAAAGACUACUGAUCGCUGGUGUAUAUUCAACCCUCAAAUUAAUGGCCAUAUUUCCUGUUCAUAUACUACAGAAAUAAGACUCUAGAACCACGUGCCACAAGCAUGAGGGCUUCAGGCAGAAAACAAGUGGAAUUUCCCCAGAGAACAUCCUUAACACAAAAUAAGUAGUUAGAAGAUCAUGAGAAGUUAAUCUGCAAAACUAGAAGAAUGAUGAGGCAGAUUAGUCUAAGACCUCUCCCAAAUUACAGUUCAAACAGUAUAAUUUCCGUUGACUCAGCGACUUCAAACGUGUAAUUCCAAAGAAGACGUGCUAGAAAACAUUUGGCACUGCUGGCCACAGUGCAGUACUUAAAGAGUAAAUACAUGCAUCAAAUAAGCUGGUGAACAAGGAGAUGAACCCUUGUUGAAUCAGUUUCGUUGCGUAGAUAGUAAUAAGGUCCUGGGUUCGAGUCCCACCAGUGCACCAGUUAUCAGCUAAGCAUGUAGAACAAGUUUACAUUGUAGACCAAACAAGUUGCCCGUGAAACAGGGAUGAGGACGAGGAAAAGAAAAAGGGGUUCUCCGAUAAAGUUUUGAUCUUUGUUUCAGUGCACAUCAUAACACAAACCCAGAAAACAAAACUCCAAAAAAUCGACCAAAUUAUUAUUCCAGGGAUUGCAAACACCGGGACUCAUACAGUCACAAUUCACAGGGCUUCUACUCUGUAUGGAAUCGGUCACUGAAGUAUUCGCACAAGAUGCUUUACGGCUUGUACAUAUCAAGAGUUGUACCUGAGAGACUAUAUAAUCAUUUCCUGAUUUACAAAGGACUAGGGAACUGAAAAGAGACAUGGAAAAACAAACCCGGAUCGUUGGAAAGACAAGAGGAGGAAAAAGGCGAAGGCGAACGAGUCCGAGAACUGGGAGUCAGGGAACGAGAGCGUCUUGAAGUAGGAAUACCGUUAGUAGAAGAAGACAAUGAAGUAGGAAUACUUGAACGAGAACUUCUUGAACUAUUCACAUUACUCGCAGCAGAUGCAGAAGCAGAAGUAGAGAGAGGAGGCCUCUCCGACCUGUGUGACGAUGACGGCCUUCCCACAGAUGCAGUAGUCGAAGAAGACGACGCCAUUCAAUUCAAUCGGUAUUCCUGGUAGCAAGAUUGAACUCAAUCAAUCAAUAAUGUUCUACCACUCUGCAUAGCAGCAGUAAGCAGUAUUUGAAAGGGGAAAAAAGAAAGAAGAAGAAGUUGGUUUCAGUUUCACAAAUGGGACGGAAGAAUAUUGGAAAAAUGGGAAAACAAAAUGGAGAAAUGGGACGCGUCGUUGAGGCCGGCACGAUUGGAGGAAGAUCUCGUCACAGAUCAUACAACUAAUACUUCAGAGUUCCGAAAGGGACUGCCAUUGGAUUAUAUUGUUAACUAUUUUGCAAAAUGGAAUAAAAAUAAGCUUUUUAAGUUCCCGCGUAAUUCCGGUUCCGCUCCUUGCCUGGCCAUAUGUCAGUACACACUGUACACAAUUUUUUGUACGUUCUGUUCUCAGACAAAUGCAACCAAUUGCCUACCAAAUGAGUGCGUUUCAGUAUGAUUUUGGGGGAUUAAUGACUGCAAUUUCUACAGUAGACUCUAGUCAGUUUGUUUCUCCGGCAUUACUCGGCGCUGAUAAUGAUAUGAUGGAAUUUUUACAUUCAGAUGAAUGAAUGGAAUGGAUGUAAAGGAGAAGAAUGAACCGCUUCUCGACUUUGAUACCAAUAUAUGAUUUUGAUGCUACAUGAUUACCCUUCAAGGCAACCUUUUGGCUUUCCCCACAUCAUCCUCCAUUGAAAUUUGUCAACUUCUAUCUUUCAGCCGUCUCAAGUAAGUGAAGUCAAAAUUCUACAACGAUCAUGGAUACUUUACAUCUGCCGAUCGUUACAGCUAAAUUAACAGAUCUAUGAGGCGGUUUUUUUUUUUUGCCCUUUUUAGGUUUGACAAUUGGUGAAGCCAAAUCUGUCACGAUAAUUUUUUUCUUAGUGAAUCAAAGAUGAUAGUAUAAUCUUUACCCUUAAAAGGUCCUUUUCACUCCAUGCACACUACAUUGAGAAUCAAAAUGUUUCGUCAUGUUGUAUCCCUACAGUACACAGAGAGGUAGGACAACAUGUGAACCUCAACAUGGGUUGCCGGCCGACACAGGUUGUACUGUCAUCUCUUUCUUCAAUUAGGAUGACAUUGACCACGUUAAUGCAUUUCACACACAAAUAUCUUCGCCUUCUUAUUCUGCUCAUCCUUCUAAUUUGCCAUUCACGAACACCUUCAAGUUACCUUUUUCUUCUUUUUCUUUUUUCCAAAUGGUGCAUUCUCUGGCUUGCCCCAGACAUCAGGAACAAGGCAAAAAUUUGCUAGCAUGAGAUUGUAUGUAUAAAACUCGUUUCUGCACCGUAGGUGAUAUGAACUUAAACGAGAAUCUGGUGAAUCAUCCUCACUGCAUCUACCGUUGUGGUGCGAAAUCAUAAUAUACUAUCUUUGCCAUUUGGUUGGUAUGCUACAAAAUGCAUGACUUGCAAGCAUUGCAUCCGAAAUCUGAGUCGAUAUUUGUCAUUUACAUAUCAACACUGGGUAGACGUCCUGGUAUAUUUUGCCACUCCUGGUAUAAGAAGUAUAAACAAUUUUCAACAUGUAUCAUCUGACCCGCGGCAAGGACUCUCCACUUGAAAGAAGCUCUAGACACCCGAGCCGAACCCCAGGCAAACUUGACUUGCAGCUGCAGGAAAUUCUACUUCCAUCUGUUUCAGCAUUAAACAGUGCAAGACCAACUCCCGCCAAGUAGACAAGACAGAUGUCCACAUUCAACUUUUGAGGUGAACAGGCGAUCCAAAAAUAACUGCAAGCUCCAUCAUUUUGGAAAUCAGUUUCAGCUCUUCCAACCCAGUGCUCGGAGAUUAGCUUGCUUCAGUUCAACAUGCUUUCCAAUCCUGUCAGCAGAAAAAUUACCCUGAGUUACACAGUUCACAAUGUCUUGUAGCUAAAAAUCUUUCCGCUCAGUUACCUCAUGCAAAAUAGAGAUGAUGGAGUUCCUAACAAUUUACUGCAAUAAAUAAAAUCGUGCUUGUUUUAUUGCAAUAGACCAAAGAAGCAGAGAAUACACGGGCACAUAACUAAGCAAACUCCAGAGCACCAGAGUCGAGAGCUUUUGCCUUAACAUGAAAACCACGUAGUGUCCAAGAAUAUCUAUUUAUAUAUGGCUAAUUCAAGCAAACUUCUAGUAUUACUGGAGAGAUCAAGCACAGCUUUAAUCAGCAUCAAUGGAAUAGCAGUAUGCAACUCAUUGUCCAAGAAAAUAUGAAAAGCAAAGCUACUUUUACUCCCUCUGCAGGGAGAAGGAUUGUGUCCUAUAGUUAUUUGAAAUGAAGACUCCCUGAUAUAAACACUCAAGUUUUUAUCACUGGAUCAGAGAAAACGGGGUACAGAGAAAAAAGAUGCAUAAAUAUUGAUCCCAGAUACCCAAAUAACAAAAGAAAAGGUCUCAGAUGCUUAGCACACAAUUCUCAAGCAUUUCUAAGGAGCAGAAAGUAAUAGAAAAAAAUGUUAAUUUUACAAAACCAUUAGCCAUUCAGAAUGGACCAUGCGUUACAAGUCUUUUGAUCCUCAGGGUUAAAUCAUGCCUUAGCCCACGGAGGGGAGGAGAAAGGGAACGGAUAAAAGAAACAGACUGAACAAGCAUCUUUUGGCUAACAACGAAAUCUAACCAUCUAAAGUUGCCAAAAAUUAUCUUACCCAAGAUCUGAUGGAAGCCUGAAACCACCAAUGCGUAUGCGCUUCAGUGCAUGAAUCUGAAAUAGAAGAAACACGAAAAGGAGUAAGAAAACAAUUCAUUUACAGUCAACAAAGGGAAGGCAUACAUAAAACUUACAACAAGAAGAACAUAAGUGGACAGACAUAAGUGAUCUAUGCUCAAGACUGCCACUGACAAUAUUGAAGUACAAUAGAUUUACAGAAAGAAAAAUGAAAAAAAAAAAAAGAAUGUCGAAAGUGAGCAAGGCAAGGAUCAGAAGAUAAAAUUCUGUAAACUCAAUUCUUUAUCAGUAUCAGAAUUCAUAAAGCGCAAAGGUCCAAGGAUGGAUUUUAAAAGGAAGGGCAACACUCCUUAAUACUUCUCUCCACGAGUGAAAAGAAAUGGGAUAGCACCAUUGGAGCAUUUAUUAGAAGCCCACUACACAUUCCUGUCUAAAAGAUUAAAAUGAAAUUUGGAAGGUCAGAAUCCCUGUCAACCUGUUUUCCAAAUUUGACUAGUUGAGAAUUCAAGUAUUUCACACCAAAAGCUUUUUAAAAAGAACAGAGAGACAGAAAAAGACAGAACAUUUUAGCAAUUAAUCAAGAUAAGAAUCAGAUGAAGAAACAGAGGAAACAUCAUAUUAGCCAUUAAUCAAGAUAGGAAGCAGAAGAAACAUUUUCAGAAGCUAAAACACAUCUCAGAAACCAAAAACUACCUCAAGUCCAGCAUUUUUUACAAGUUCCCGCACUUCAUGAUUUCUUCCCUCAUGAACCUGCACCAUUAAAAGUAAGUGGAGGUCUGAUCCAUUAUCUUUUCCUUAUCUGCAUAAAUAAUGACACAACAAAGGCCAGAAUGACAAAUGGAGACUACAAUUCAUCAAACAAAAGCAUGAUUUAUUUGUCAGUCAGGACCAUAGUUUUGGGUGGACAACAGACUCGGAAGUCCAUCACAGGUAGACGAGUUUCUGCCAUCCAUAUACUUAAUACAUAUACAGCAUGUUUUUUUUUUGGCUUUAUUCAUGAGUCGUUACCAACACAAAGCAAUAACUUGAGACUUUUAGUUAUUUCCCCCCUUCUUCUCAUUAUUCUAAUAAUUAUUGCAUCGGAAGAGGGAAAAGAGGAAGGUGAUGACAGCAUGGAGAUGACCACCCUAUAAAAGAUUACCUUGUCAGUGUUUGAGAAAGAAAUUAAAAGGAAAAGGAAAACAACUGCAAAGGCCUUUUAUACAAGAACACCAGGAAAUGCUAGGCAGAAAACAAAAAUCAAAAGAAAAAGGAAUAGACUAGUUCCUUAACAGUUGUAAAUAAGUCCAGUAUUCUCAGAAGAGAAAAAUUAAUACCACAAUCCGAAUUCGUGGUCUUGACAGAUCUGGCUGCGGCGGUAGCAGCUCUACAAUAUCCGGGGCGCAUUGAACGCCUUCAACAACAGUCCCUUCACUAAUGGUAAUCAAAUGUCGCUUAUUGACGGAACCAUCAAUAGUUGCAAUAUAUCUAUAGCAAUACAUUUCAGUAAGAUUCAGUAUAUCAGGUAAGUAAGCACAUAAUGUUGAAUGCUUGACCACUGCUGAAACUUACUCUUUUAAUACUGAAUCAAACGAUAGGAAAGCAGAAUGAAUUCUAAAAUAAGUAUAAGACAUGAAAAGCAAGAAUCCCAUUCAAAGAAUGGACAAAAAUAUCAACAAGAACUUACUCCUUGGAUAAUUUAGAAGAAGGAUGUGAAAGCUUCUGAGCAAAAUCCCCUAAAACAAAAGUAAUUCAACAAAUACCAGUACCGUAUAAACAUCAUUAUUAGUAACAUCAAUGAGUCAAAAUAAAAAAUACCAUCAUUUGUAACUAUAAGCAAUCCAGUUGUGGCAACAUCAAGACGACCAACAGUAAAUAGUCGUGGUUUUGGUAGUCCAGGGUUCCUUUUAUCCUGAGAAAAAUGCAAAAAAUACUCAUAUGUCAAAAUAAAGCCCUUGCUGGAGGUGCCAUCAUAUUAGUUUAGGGAUAUAGAACACUUUAGUUGCAAUGUCUAGCGCAAAAUACAUAACAAUUCAGCCCAACAUACCCAACUAUUCAUAAAAUCAUUGAACAGAGACAGCACGGACUUCGUCUCCUUCUCUCCAGCCGAGCAAAUGUAACUGCAAGAUUAUACUGUUUUCAGCUUAUAGAAAAAGUGCAUGAUUCAAACGUUGAAGUCUCAAAUACUAAUGACAAGUUACAUAGAUAGACGUUGAUAACAAACCCUUUCGGCUUGUUUAGCGCAAAAUAGACCUUUGGGGGCAGUUUCUUGGGCAGGCGGUUCCCGUUGACAUAGAUCACAUCCCUAACAGGAUCAACUCUGGUCUGAUCCAUCACACAAGCAAAUAAAUGCCAUACUUCAUCACAAGAAACCAUAUCAUAAAAAAAAAUGGUUUUCUUCUUUAACAGUGCAGCUGUCUAACCUGAGGAGUAUUGCAUACAGAACCAUUAACAGUCACUUUACCUCCGAAAAUAAGCUCUUCGCUGUUUCUUCUUGAUGCCACUGUCAAAUCAAACCCAAUCAUACAGAAACAUUAAAUGUAAUUCAACAUUUUCCAUCCACAAACAUCACUAGCCGCCGUAGAGUAUGACAGCUUAAGUAUACUAAAACUUUGUAUCAUCAGACAGUAAAUUGUCUCAAGAAAUAGUAAUGCGUCCAUUAGACAAAUGAUACUGCGGUCACGCAGCACACCCCUCAUAAUAAGAAACGCUUUAAAUUUAACAAUACAAUUACAGCAAAAUAAGUGCAAUUUACAACCAAUAGAGCACAAGGUACACCGCCUCGUGCCGUAGCAUCCUCAUUUAUUUGAUAAAACUGAACUAAAUAACUAAAUAAGCAGUGAAGCAUUUUUGUUACCUCCAGCAGCAGCUAAGACCUUACUAAGCCGCUGAGGCGGGUCCCGGAAAUUCUCAUUAUAAAACCGGCGGGCAGCCUUGGAGAACUUCGGCUCAGCUGUGGGAGAAGCCGGCUUUGCUUUAGAGUCUUUCUCUUUCUUCUUCUUCUUCUUCUUAGUCUCGGCAUUGCCCAUCGCGUGAAGUAGACGAGCCGGAGGAGUAGACUGGAGGGUGAGGUUGCCAUUCUCGUCGCGGACAAUCCACGGGAUGUAGAGUUGGUCAUCCAAUUCGCUAGCUGAGUCAUGGCCCGGAGUUUCAGUGGCGGAUUCGGAUGCGGGUUUGGGCUUGAGCUUGGGCUUGGGAGGGGCGAAGGUGAUGUUGAAUUCAGGUGUGGUGGAGGGAGCGGAAGAGAGUGAGGAGGCAAUUAUGGUGCGGAGAUGGCGGUGAGUGGUGCGGGUGAGAGGAAUAGCGGGUUUGGUUAGGUGGAGGGUGGCGAAAACCGUGGAGGCGGCGGCAGCUACUGCGGCCAUUAGCGCCGCCAUGUUCAGUGGAGCUGGGGUGGAGUGGCAAACGGCGAUGGGGGCUUAAGUCGAGAAUUUAGAUAAGUAGAGGGAGAUUUUAUCUCAAGCUUUAAUUCCAAUAAAGCCCUCUGCAGUUUGGCGUCUCCGGCAGAGAAUAAUUAAUUAUGAUACAUCUAAGGUCCUAAACUAUAAUGAUUAAUUCAUGAUUUGGUCACUCCAAAUCUCUGACCAAUUUGUUUGGCAAGUUAAUUACAGUUGCCACCGUUAAAUUUGAUUCUUUAUAGCUAGUUUGAAUCAUUGAGUCGAAUUUAUAGUUUCCCUUCUUAGAUUCCUAUAAUUAAAAAACUUGUAAAUCAAUUACCUUCUCCCCAUAAUUGAUUUAUAUGUCCUUUUCCCUUUUUUUAAUAAUUCAUCACUACCAAAAUUUUAGAGUGUCCAUUAGCAAAUUAAUGACUCUAUCCCUUUUUUUCUCUCUCUUAUUUUAAAUCAAUUGUCCUCCAAUUAGUUUCAUUGCACUCUCUGACAGUCCAAUUAGAAAAAAAAAAUUAAAGAAUUGCAAAAUCAAUCACCUUCUCCCUUGCAUCUACGCUCAUAUGGCACUAAUUUGUGUUUCUUUAUAAAUUAGUCGUUUAUUGAAUAUUUCGUUUGCUUUUCCUUUGGAAAAAGGUAUCAAAUUGUGAAUUACUGAUCAAUACGGUCCGUGACACAUCUAAUUCUUUAAAAUGGUGCUUCACCACAUUCAGCCCGCUCAAGUGACUGACUGGAUAUGGUGCAUCAAGGUGUAAACUAAUCAUUAAUUUAGUUAUAAUUUUACUAGUUGUAUUCCAAUUACUACCUUCAAUUUUUGUCCUUUUUUGUCCAGUAAAGUAUUAGAUAUCUUGAGUUUUACUAUUAAAUAUCGGUUUCAAAUAUUCACCUUUUUCUUGAAUUUAUUCCUUGAAGAUAAAAGAAUAUGAGAAAUUUAACAAAAUUAUAUCCUUAUACUAUUUAAAAAUGGGUUGUGGUCAAAGGAGUUUUGAAUUUCAAUCGUAUGGAUAGGAGAUUUUUGGAAGUGUGAAAUGUUAUGUAGUUUUUUAAAAGUUUUGGGUACAACUAAGGGCAACAUGUGUUUAGGUAUAUUUAACGAAAUACCCUCAUUUUUUGUACAUUUAAAGUUUUGAUUUAUGGAAACAUCUGGAUAUUUCUGAAAUAUGAAAUUGGGAGUGUUUGGAUACAAAACUUAUCCAAAAUAAUAUUUCGCUUGCAUCAUAAACACAUUUUCCAACCCACCUUUUUAUAUUCCCAACCACCUUUUUAUCUCACAUACAUCACAUCACAAAAAGUGCUACAGUAAUUAUUCCAAAUAAUAUUUCAAAUAAUACACUAUUCAAAUAAUACAUUAUUUUACGACCGUUUUUGCAUUGAGUACAAUUUAUAUAAAUUUAUGUGUUGAUAUAAUUACUGAAAUGAUGUUAUAAACACAUUUAAUUGAUGUGUGACUUUUGUUAUGUAAUUAACACAAAGACAUAUUAACACGUUGUGCAAUUAACAUAUUGCUAUAAUUAAUCGUUGAAGGAUAUCCCUCUGAAACAACUUAUAUCUGCUCUUCGACGAUUUUCAACUUGCUUCUAUAGGGACUUUUUUGGAACAUUCCCACCUAAUACAUUAGCAGUAUAUAUAAAAUUAAUUCAUACAAAAAUUGUUUAGGGGCAGUAUAAUAUUCCAAAGUUCCGGUAUAUUUCAUUCAUUUAUUUGUACUUUUUUGAAUCUCUUUUUGAAGAAAAAUGAAUGAAGUGUCAUUUCUGGCAAAUAUAAUAUUCAUCUUACAAGGAUCCAAAGCACUUUUCGAAUUCCAACGCAAAAUAUGUAAACCGAAUCGAUCCUUCGAAUCAAACUUCCAUUCCUCCGCUCCAUCAGAAAACAAAAUACUAACUCCAUUCCUCCGGCCCUCCAAUUAGUCCCACCACCGCCACUUUCUACUUUCUAUGGCCACUUCCAUUCGUCUCCGCCGGCUGGGAACCGUCGCCCUCGCAGCCGGUGGUGCAUAUACUAUUCUCCGUGACCCCUCAAUAUCCGUGAACGACAGAGGUGGUGGUUCUGCUUUACAGAUUGUAAAGCAGAAAAUUGCAGACCCGUUUGCCGUCAUCCCCUGCCGAGCCGUUCAGGAGUCAGCUCUUAUGGGCGCGAGUUUAGCCAACCCUCUUGACGUACUGGUUGUUGGUGGUGGUGCCACCGGCUCCGGCGUCGCCCUCGACGCUGCCACGCGUGGCCUUCGUGUUGGGCUUGUCGAGCGCGAAGACUUCUCCUCUGGGACUUCUUCAAGGUCUACUAAAUUAGUUCAUGGAGGUUAGAAUUUCAAAUUUAAAUAAGUGCACAGUUAUUCAGUAAUGUUCAGACGAAUCGUUGGUAAGUCUGGCAAAAUGACUAUAUAUGGUUAAAUUUCUAAAAAUUUAUUGAUCUUUUGGGUUACAGAUAAUGAUAUAUAUUGGCAAGGACGCAUAGUAGUUGACUAUAUAUAGAUAAAUUGCUAAAAAAUGAUUGAUCUUUUGGAAUACGAUUAAUGAUAUAUAUAUCGUUAAGGACGCAUAGUAUUUAUUCAUCGUUGAAAUCUCCUUUCUAUGCAUGUGGCAUGCGGGAAAUAAGCUUUUUUGUGCUCAAUUGCUAGUUAUGGUCAGAAAGGCUUGAUCUUUUUGCUCUUGAGGUAUUGGGAUUUAGUCGCUUAGGUAAUAGUGUUGAAGAUAGAAUAGAUAGAGGUAACAUUAAAAGUUGGUGGUUGAUGUCUACUACCCUACUCUAUCAUGCAGAAGGUCAGGAGUGAUUAGAAACUUUUGCAGUAUCUUUUGCUUCUGUGUAUUGGCAUAAGGUCAUUGAGAGAGCAGUGAAGAUGAAAAGAUAGAUAAAGAAAAGAGAAAUUUGGUAGCUCGGCAUUUUAUGCGUGCUCCAUUGUGGAGGAUGUCAGGACAAUUUUAUGCGUGCUCCAUUGUCCUGGUGGCUAUAGACAGGACAAUUUUUGCCAAGAUUUAGUGCCAAGACAGUUGUGUGGUGAGUGUGCUUGAUGUGAUAUGCUGUCUUUCAGUGUAUUUGGGAACCUUGAAUCUAGAUGUAGAAUGUCUUUCAGUAUAGUUGGGAGCUAUGGUUAGAGUUUAUAUUAUAGUUGUCCGCAGUUUAAGCUUAGUUUGAAAUGCGGAGCCAGUUUAAGCAUAUGCAGUAAAUGAAGCAACAUAUAAAGGGUGGAUGAUCGAGGGUGGGCACAGAACUUCCCUUUUUUGUCAUAUAUUUAGGGGAAGGGGCAUUUCAUCUGAGUGAAAUUGGUGAUAUUUGUGUUUAUAAGAUUGCUUUUAACUGAAUUGGUGAAUGCAUUAAGUUUCAAAGCACUGGAAGGUCUUCAUCCUAAAUUCAUGUGUUGCUACAAAUUGUCCAGCAUAUGAUGAUCUCUCGGUUAUUAGAUCUGCCUAUCUAAGUUUGAGUACAGAAAUUAUCAUCAUGGUCUAGAUGUGAUGUGAGUGGACUUCGAUAUUUCAAGCAUAGGCGUUCAGUAACUGUAGUAUCAUUCAAGAAAUUUCAAGUUUAAAGAACUUUAGAAGCUCACGAGUUCAAUCAUUGGAUUUUUCAAAAUGGGAAAUGUUUGCUACUUGCAGGUCAAAGCACAAUUUUGACAAACCUUAUGAAAAUUUGCUCAUCUGUCUUGAUAUUAUUGGCUAGCAUGAGCAUGAUAUCAUUCUAUUGAUAGUAACUGGUAAGUUAAGUAGUCUAUGUCGAUCAUUGCAAUCAUCUCAUAGUUGAUAUUCUUUUGUUGGUGCUUAUGACUCUUCAGAUUUAAUUCCACCCAAUUUAUCCUGUACCAAUCUCCCAGGUUUUGAAAAAAUUCAUUGAUCAUGUAUGAUGGCAGCUCAUAAUGGACUCUAACGAGUUUAGAACAUAUUAUACAACUUUUUCCAAAAAACCCCACUUUCAUGUAGUUCUGUUAUUAUACUUUAGAAUCAACAGGGCAUUAUUGCACAUUUUUUGCAUUUAAGCCUUGGUGCUUAUUAGAAAGUAUCUUUUACAGGAGUUCGCUAUUUGGAGAAAGCUGUUUUUAACUUGGAUUAUGGGCAGUUAAAGUUGGUUUUUCAUGCACUUGAGGAGCGCAAACAGGUUAUUGACAAUGCUCCCCACCUCUGCCAUGCUUUGCCAUGCAUGACGCCGUGUUUUGACUGGUUUGAGUUGAUCUACUACUGGAUGGGCUUGAAAAUGUAUGAUCUGGUUGCUGGCCGCCACCUGCUACACGUGUCCAGAUAUUAUUCUGCUCAGGAGUCUCUAGAACUAUUUCCUACUCUAGCAAGGAAUGGGAAAGAGAAAACUUUGAAGGGCACGGUGGUUUAUUAUGAUGGACAAAUGAAUGACUCAAGACUCAAUGUUGCAAUAGCAUGUUCUGCUGCUUUAGCUGGGGCAGCUGUGCUUAAUCAUGCAGAAGUAGUGUCACUUCUCAAGGAUGAUGUUACUGGCCGCAUAAUCGGUGCACGCAUUCGCAAUAACUUAUCUGGUACAAUAAGAAUUACACUACCUCUUGCUUUGUUAUUUUACUUUCCUUUCCAACAGUGCAUUUUAGAGCAGUGUAGCGUGUACAAUGUGUUUAUAUUUCAACUGGAUUCAGGCUGGUGUAGAAUUUUUACUUUCCUUUCCAACAGUGCAUUUUGGAGCAGUGUACUGUGUACAAUGUGUUUGUAUUUCAACUGGAUUGAGUCUGGUGUAGAAUUUUGAGUCUAUCAUUUUCGCUUACAGCAUCUCAGCAUUGUACAGUUUUCCUUGUAAAUUGUGUUUCUUUAUGAGUUGCAGUUCAUGAGACUACUUAUUUGAGUAAAAACACUGGUUCAUAAUCCAACUCUCUCUCUUAACCCAUUGCGUAAAACAUAAAAAAGCAUAUUUUUCUCAUUGCAUUUACUAAUUUUUUUAAAAAAAUUUCCUUCCCCUCUUGUACUCAUUCCUCUGUGUACUCUCAGGUCUCAAUAUUUUCAUCCUGUACCAAUUAGCCAAUGUCAUCGACUUGCUCUUAGAGAUCUUACUUUUUAAAGUGUGCAGGCAAGGAGUUUGAUACAUAUGCAAAAGUAGUUGUCAAUGCUGCUGGACCAUUUUGUGAUUCUGUGCGGCAAAUGGCUGACAAAAAGGCAAAACCAAUGAUCAUUCCUAGUAGUGGUGUGCAUAUUGUGCUACCUGAUUACUAUUCACCUGAAGGAAUGGGCCUCAUAGUUCCAAAAACUAAGGAUGGUCGUGUUGUCUUCAUGCUCCCAUGGUUGGGGAGAACAGUUGCUGGUACUACAGAUUCAAACACCUCCAUUACAAUGCUACCAGAGCCUCAUGAGAAUGAGAUUGAAUUCAUAUUGGAUGCUAUAUCUGGUUAUCUGAAUGUCAAGGUUUGUUGGUUUGCCUAACUUGAUUUCGUAUCGAGUGCUGAAUCUCAGUCACCUAACUUAUAUGUGAUUCAAUGCAUAAUCUGUCAUUAGCCUUAGAGGACCUUUUAAUUUAUUUGAUUAGAUGAAAUCCAAAGUGUUAUUCACUGCUGGUAUUUCGUUGGGUUAUCUUCAACAUUUGUAUGGAUUAUAAAGUUGCAGAAUGCUUUAAAUAUCAGGUUCUUAGUUCUUGUACAGCAUAUUGACUACUGUAAGCUAGUUUGAGGCAUUGUUUGGUCUAGUCUAAAACUACUAGACUUAGUUUAACAUUUUGUUGAGUUUUUGCUUGCAUUUGAUGUUAGCAUUUUGGUUUCAAGAAAUUUGGGGAUCAGGAAAAGGCUGAUGAGCGCAAGUUGCAUGUGAUGAAUCUGCCAUGGUAAAACCAGUUAAUUAGCUAAUAUUCGAUUGUGUUGUGAACUCUUCUUGUUCUUUUAGGUCUCUUGUAAAUGGUUUCAUGUGGUUUUGAAGUGUGUUCUUUCUUUUUUCCUUAAUGUUAUAUUUGUAUAAUAUCUUGUGGGGACUAAAAGUUUGUCAGAAAACUAGGUUCGGCGCACAGAUGUACUUUCUGCUUGGAGUGGUAUUUGUCCAUUGGCAAUGGAUCCUAAAGCAAAGAACACAGAGAGCAUUUCCCGUGAUCAUGUUGUUUCUGAAGACUACCCUGGUUUGGUAACAAUUACCGGUGGUAAAUGGACUACAUAUAGAAGGUAUUUCGUUUUUUUCCUUUUGGUUUACUGAAUUAGAAGCAUACCUUUUAUAUCCUCACUUCUCGGCAUUCACACCUGAGCUCACUUAUUGUGUCAAGUAUAUUCUAGUGGUUAGCUAUCUUCUGAGUUUCUUUUGAUAAGAUUCUUGGGGUGGAGAUGUUAGUAAGCAGAAUCAACAUUUUUCUUACAUUUAUGCCCCAGUGCUUGCUUCUUCUUUUUUUUUUUUCAGCAUUGUGGACAAGUAUUUUUUUUUCCUAAUGACAAUCUGUUUCAGCAUGGCAGAAGAUGCUCUUGAUGCUGCCAUAAAGUCUGGGAAAUUGAACCCAACCAACAAAUGCUUAACAUACAACAUACAACUCGUAGGUGCUGAUGGGUGGGAACCUGCGUCUUUCACCAUACUAGCGCAACAGUAUAUGCGCAUGAAAAGGACAUAUCGUGGAAAUGUUGUUCCAGGAGUGAUGGAUACUGCUUCAGCAAAGCAUUUAUCUCAUGCGUAUGGUACUCUAGCUGAACGAGUGGCUGCAAUAGCUCAGGUAUACUAGUUUAACUCUUUUUAUUUGUUUGUGCAAUUAUUUCUUUGAUUCAAUAAUCUUUUGCAAUUUAUACUAAGGCAUUUUGAUAGAUUUAAUUCCCUGGAGUUCAUUUAUAGCUUCUACAUUUACAUAUUCCUAGCAAGUCUGAUUAUCUCCAUUUCCUUGCUUUUUUUUUCUUUUCAAAGAAAUCUUAUUUGAAUAUUCAUGUGCAACUAUCUCAUGCGGAGCAGGGGAUUUGCAUAUGUCAUUUGAUUGUGAAUGAGUUUUUACUUGAUCGGGGGAUUUGCAUUUGUCAUUUGAUUCUGAUUGAGUUUUUACUUGAUCGGGGGAUUUGCACUUGUCAUUUGAUUCUGAUUGAGUUUUUACAUGAUUUUUUUUCUUAAAAAAAAAAAAAAAAUCAAGAAUGAGAACCUGGGGAAGCGACUUGCCCAUGGAUACCCGUUUCUGGAAGCAGAAGUAGCAUAUUGUGCUCGAAAUGAAUACUGUGAAUCUGCUGUGGAUUUUAUUGCCAGAAGAUCUCGGCUAGCUUUCCUUGACACAGAUGCUGCAAAUCGGGCUCUACCCCGCGUGAUUGAGAUUCUGGCUGCUGAGCACAAAUGGGACAAAUCAAGGCAGAAAGAAGAACUAAAGAAGGGUAGAGAAUUUUUAGAGACCUUCAAAUCAUCAAAGAAUGCUCAGUUCCAUGAUGGGAAACACAAAUAGUAAGGAGUCGUGAAUGUAUAUCCCAAAAGAGUUGCUAAUCUCCUCUUUUGUCAGGCAACUGCUUCAGGGCAACAAUGACUUGUACAACGUAGGUGUAGCUUUUCAGUUCUGCAUGAACGGUCGUUGAUUGCCCCAUCUCUCAUCAGCCAUCAGCCGAAAUAAUAUCAAUUUGGAUGUCAUCCAUAUAUAUACGAUACUAAUUUGGAUAUCUUUACUCUUUUUGUGCAAGAUGUCUAUUGGGAAGACAAAUGAGCCUAAAUAAUCCUUCUUUUGGAUGUCAUCUGUUUGUGCAAGAUGCAUGCAGUGAAGACACUUGUGGCUCUAGAUUUAAAGUGUUUGCUGAUCUCUGAAAGUCAUCUAUAUAAUAUAUUCGACAGACACAAAAUUUACCCCACACACAGUGCUGGCAGCAUUGCUUCUGGACUAGUACUACUUAGCCAUGGAUUGGUACCGUAAUGGCUUUUCAGAUUAUAAGAUUCUCAUUGAAAUAUGUAUGGUGGAGUCAAGUGUUUAGAGCAUUUUCGUGAAAAAGAAAAUGAGGCAGCCCUGCCCCUUUUGGCUCUCUGGGCCAUUCGCCAUGGAUACGUUUAUAUCCUUUUUACAACUCAUAUGAAAGUUAAUCCGUUGACUCUAAUCCUUCUUUACUCCUUUUGGCUGCUAACCAUUGUUGCCUUCUUCACCCUAUUAGUCAGUUAUCAUCAUUUUGUUGGUGUUUUUCUUAUAGCUUCACCGGUUAUACAGGUUUAGGUUAUGAAAUACAAUUUUGCUAAACCGCUACAUACAGUUAGGGUCAACAAAAUUACAAAUGAACUGGUUACCCGGUUCAUGAACACUUCUAGUAACAUUUUCAUGUUUUUGAGAUAUUCUUUGACAUGUCUUUUAAUUACCUUACUACAUUUUUAUCCAACAAAAAUUACAUCCCAGCAAGGUGCUUAUUAUUUUUUGGGAACUAGAGAAUGUGAUAAAAAUGGAGCCAUUGUUUCUUGUAGAUCUCAGCACUUUGUCUAAUAUAUCAUGUUACCAUCAAAAGAAACACAAAAAAAAAGGAAAACAUUUGAUACGUGAAAGAGGAAAGACGCUUAUCUUAAUCGUUUUUUAAAACUCUAUUGUAUUUUGAAUUUUUUUACACACAUUUAGCGUUCACCUGACCUACCGUAUAUAUACAUACAUAUCCUAAUAAUUAUUAUUCUUCAUUGCAUUUAUAUACUUUCUUUAUUUAAUAUUGCCUACCUUCCCUUAUAUUUAUUUACUUUUUUUAAUUAAUAUUAUAUUUUAAAAAAUAUAACACUUAAAAUAUAUCUUAACCAAUUUUUUUUUUUUUUUUGUGAAGAGAGGCUGAAACCAAAAUUACAAGACUAGAUAGCGAAUUGCACCCAUCACAUCGAAUGGCUAGAACGACGAAUUAACAGUAUCUGGUGGAUCUUACAAAAGAGCAACCCCAAAUUGCACAUUAGGAGCUGCCAUAGCCGAAACAUGUACACCCGUCCGUCAGCCAAUAUAGAAGCACCUUUGGGCUGAUGAAAUCAAGGCUGGCACUACGAGCUGAAACAUUGGGCCUUUCGGGGGCUAUUACCUCAUUGUUGCUAACUAGCCAAGCCCGUAAAAGAGCCCCAGCUAAUAGCCCUUUUAAAUCAUCACCUUCGUUCUAGCAAGCUCUCACAGAAUUAUCAAACACGAAGGUCAGGAGAGGGAAAAAUUAAUGGCGCAAAUUCCUAAUUUAGACAAUGCUCCCAUUAAUCUCACCUCAAUUAGGUUUGUUAAUUAUCAAUUGUGUUAAUGGAUAUUUAAAUUGCUUCAACUACUUAUUUACUCCAGAAUUAAUCUUGCUUCUCUGUUUUCUUUUUUUUUGUGGGUGAAAUUCAGAGAUCAGUCUCAGAAAGAACUUCUUACUAUCCUGAAAAAUGUAAGUUACAUACUUCAGUUUACUCUUUUUUUUUUCCCUCUGGGUGACAGUUGAAUUAAUUUGUAAAAUAAUUCGAACAAUUCAAUUUUUUCAUUUUUGUGGUGAUUUUUUUUUAUUGGUAGAUUCGAGGAAAGAAAUGUUUAGCUAUCGAUCCCAAGCUUGGUGGUUCGCUUUCAUUGAUCGUCCAGAGCUCACUUCUCAAGGCAAUUCCCUAUUAUUCUUUUUUGUUAAUACAAUUUUGGCCCCAGUCAGUUGUGAUUUCUAUCACUAUACAUUUUCAGCUCGCUAAUUGAGUUUUUUAGUUAGUAAGAUUGUCUGAGUUAUGGGUAAUCAAUGUUUUCUUUUGUGCAUUUUCUCGAAGAUUUAUCGCUCGGUUUAGUGAAAAAGCAUAAGAACAUUUUUGCUUAAUUUUGGGUGUAACCUUGAUCGAAGCAAAAACUGUUAUCUAAAUUGUAGUAAUGAAGUGUGGCUUCUUAAUGUGUGGACUAGGGAGUCAGAGUUUUGCUGAAAUUAGUCAAUUCUAAAGGUGUUUUGAUAUGUACAACAGGAACAUGGGGCUGAAUUGCGUCAUCUUACUGCAGAACCAAUUCAAACUGAUUGCACCAAGGUCGUUUACCUUGUCCACAGCCAACUUGACUUGAUGAAAUUAAUUUCCUCACAAAUUCGUGAUGAUACUUCAAAGGGUCUUCAAAGAGAGUAUUUUGUUUACUUUGUUCCUCGUCGUACUGUUGUGUGUGAGAAAGUAAGCUCCCUUUCCAAGUAAGUUUGUUAAUGCGUCUUUACUUGUUUGCUGAAUUGAAUAUGAUGUUUAUGUUUGCUUAGAUACUAGAGGAGGAGAAAGUUUAUGACUUGUUGACUAUAGGUGAGUACCCAUUGUAUCUAAUGCCAAUAGAUGAGGAUGUAAUAUCGUUUGAGCUCGACCUUGCGUAUAAAGUAAGUCUGCUUGUACUUUUGCAUAAGAAAAAGUGUUCCAUACAUCUUGGAAAGGGACAUAUCUAAGAGCAGGUUAGCUUUGCUUGACAGGAUCAUUUGGUGGAUGGAGACACGACCUCUCUCUGGCACAUUGCAAAGGCUCUCCACAAACUAGAGGUCCAUUUCUUCUGUUUCUUAUCCUACUUGUCAAAUCAGUUUAUUCACUUCCUCAGUUUUCCCAUGUUUUCUAGUAGCCUUCUUUUACUUGAUGAAUGCAGUCUACUUUUGGAGUGAUACCAAAUAUUAGGGCCAAAGGGAAAGCAUCUGCACGUGUUGCAGACAUUUUGAAUCGCAUGCAAAUUGAAGAACCUGUUAAUGCAUCAGAUGUACUUAUGCUUCAACUUAUAGGCUUUUUAUAUUUGUUUGAUUUGAGAAUCUUCUAUGUUGUCUAUUGGCAAGUAAAAGGAUCUUUUCUUCUUGCUGCAGGCUGGCAUGCCAGAAAUCAAUACUCUGAUCCUCCUAGACAGAGAGGUAUUCACUCACUCACACUGUCUCUCUUUCAUAGAUAGAUAGAUGGAUGGGCACAGAUAUGUGUAUACGUUUAUAUGUGUGAAAGGGUGUAUGUGUAUUUAUGUACAAGCUUAGACCAGAUUACUGAUGUAUAUAGGACUAUGUCUCCAUAUGACAUCUUUAUAUUUACUAUUAACUUUAUAGUAGUUCAUCACCUCAUGCUCACAGAGUUAUUAUGCACUCGAAUAAGUUAAAUUUUUUUUUAAUCAUCAUGAAUGAGCUAGAGUAGGAGGUUAUAACAUCUGGCUAGCUACCUACGGUGGGAACUGUUCCAAUCAGAGGGUGGUAUAUAGGUGUCUAUUGACCAUUCAGGGUUGCUGAAAGUGUACACGUGUGCAUCACAAAAUUUUGAAAUCACAUUUCAAAAUAUUGUAAUUUGAGAUAUUAAAGCCUGGGUAAAGGCAGGCUUUUCCUUUAGACCAAAGAUUACUCAUCUCUAGUCAUGGUAUUCAUGGACUUGGUUCGAAGGCUUGUUCUCUGAAAAAUUUAAUCUAGUAGCACUAAGCAAUCUAUUAUCACGCCUUAGUUUCAGGCUUGAAUGUUGGGAUUUUAAUUGUAAUGCUAAGAAAUAUCUUCAGUCUGAUUGCUAUUUGUUGUUUCUGCUGCAGGUAGACAUGAUCACUCCUUUGUGUUCUCAGUUAACAUACGAGGGGCUGCUGGAUGAGGUAAAAUGCAAAAGAACUUCAUUGGACACUGAUAAACUGAAUUUGCGUACUAAUUUGCAUUGCUGAGUACUACUUUACAAUAGCUGCAAUUCCUGCUGGAUAAAAUGUAAUUUUCUCUUUUGGUAGUUGGCUAAUAUGAUCCGUGUCCUGUGUAUUUGGCGUACAAUAUAUUGCUUAGCUUUUCUACUGGUUGCAUGCAGUUUCUUGGUGUCAAUAAUGGUGCGGUGGAAGUAGACUCAUCUAUUAUGGGUGUUCAGCAAGAAGGAAAAAAAAUGAAGGUUCCCCUUAAUUCAACGUAUGUUAGUUCUAUUUAUGCACUGCUUAGCAUCUCUCAUCUUCCUGCGAUUCUUAUUCUUUACUUUGUGAUGAUCUGUUUUGCUGUAUGCUUAUCUCUUCCAAUCCCUGUUGUCUAAACAUCUUAAAAAUGCUCUUCAUCUCUUCCAUACCAAAGCAAAAUUGGGUUUCCUCUGAGCAAUUUCAGAAUCAAUUAAGUUUUUUUUCUUUGUGAAAGAAUUCUGAAUUUGUCUAUGCCUUUUUUUUUCUUUCUAAGAUGAAAGGUUUUCCUGCCCUGCUGGCUAUUUGUAGACUUUCCCCUUCUAAUUGAUGGUUCAAUUGUUGUCUAGUUGUUCUGUGCGCAAGUAUACAUCAGUGCGACAUGUAAAUAUCUUGCAUGCCUUGGCUUUGUAACAUUUACUGAUUCUUUUUCUGCUCUUACUCCAGUGACAAACUGUUCAAAGAGAUACGGGACUUAAACUUCGAAGUUGUUGUCCAGGUUGACCUGUUUUGAGCAUAUUUUCAUGUCUGCUCACAUCCUGUUCAAUUAGUUUUAUCAUUUUUCUCAUGUGCAUUCACAGUGUGAUUGCAGGUUCUACGUCAAAAAGCAACAUCCAUGAAACAGGACUACACAGAGAUGACAACUACUGUAUGUGGUCAUUAAAGUAGUUUUCUCAUUUUUUAUGCCCCAAAUCAAUUUUAUGUUCGGUUUUGUUGCUAAGUAUUAAAUUGGCUAGUUUGUACAAAAGAACAUAUGGUCCAAAAUACUUCCAUGUAGUUGUGCAAAUUCCAUGUGCUCUUGCUGAUGAAUAUUUUCAAAAUGGAGACUUGACUGAUCAUGUCAGUAAAAAGGCUUAGUGUUUACAUGUCUAUACAGUUACUGGUGGCAGAUUACCUAUUAUAUACUGCUUUCUCCUAUAUUGUUUUUGUUUUUAAAAGAAUAACAACAAAAUAAUUCCCCAUCAAAGCUUGGGACGGAAGCCAGUGUUAUUAGGAACAUAAACUAGAGAAUGUCUAAUAGAUUUAAUCAAAUUUAUAGUGAUAUCUACCUAGUAGUGUAUAAUAUUGUGGAUUCAUCAUGAUGAAGUGAGUAAAAUAUUUUUUUGCUAAGCACUUGAGCAUCUUCUUCUACAUGGCACUAAGAAUUGCCAAAAUGAACUGCCAGGUUUUCCUUCUUAAUUACAUGGAUGGCUUUGUCACGUGGAUCCAUUGUUUAAGCAAACCUAAUUAUCCUCCCCCCCCCCCCCCCCCCCCCCCGAAAAAAAAAAAACCCAACAAAAAAGUUAUUCUUGUUUCUCCAAUAUGAGGAUCUUUAUAUUGCUCUACACACUAAGAAUAUUCUCUGACAUGGUGCUGCAUUGCAUACAGAAUCAAACAGUAUCUGAAUUGAAGGACUUUGUGAAAAAGCUGAACUCAUUGCCUGAAAUUACUGUAAGUUCUUCAUGGAUUAACUGCAGUUAUCGUUCUUGAUGGUUCGAUUGUCAAGUUCCAGAUCUAAGUGCUGUCAACUAUUGUUUCAGCGGCACAUAAAUCUUGCUCAGCACUUGUCAACUUUUACAUCAAAACCUUCAUUUCUUGGGCGUCUUGAUAUGGAACAUACAAUUGUUGAGGCUGAGAGCUAUGACAUGUAAACUCAAUUUCUUUAUCUUUUAGUUCUUCUAAAGUAAACUCAGAGAAGUUUACAUUUAACUGAUCCUUUUACUUAAUAAAACUUUGUUAAAUCAGAAGAUUUAAUAUGAGCUAAACUUGCUGUGGCUUACUAACAUAAUAAGCUUCAUUUGAUGUGGAAUGCUUAUCUUCAGGGUAACUUACACAUCCUAGCUGAGUCCAGUUUUGUUCUGGUUGCAAAAUUUUUGUUCUUUUCUCUAUUGAGUUAACUUUAGCAAUGUGAUUGCUUGUCAUGUUUACUGUUGUGUAGAUAUUCCACUUACUUUCUCAACUGCCAAGUCAUUUACUUUGACCACCAUUUUUUUCGGGUAACUUUGGGGGCUCGCAUUUGAAGUUGAAGCAUUUUGGAUUAAUUAUCCUCUUUUAUUUGCUAUAUAUUUUCCAAAUAUGGUAUUAUAUAUUCUAACCUUGAUUUCCACACACUUUAUAUGCCCUGUUCACUCAGUGCUUUUCCCAAAUUACAUUCUCAGUGAGUCUGAUCUCCAAACCUCCUUUGCCUCCCUUGGAAACUAGUGUUGUCAUCAUCGUCUUUUUAUUUUUGUUUGCCCUCAACCAUGAUCAAAUAAAUUUGCAUGCAUCCCACGUGAACAUGGUCCAUUGUCCCUUGAUGGCCUACUUGGCUGCAGAAACUAAUUGUGGACAUUAAUGCAGAUGCUUCGAGUACAUUGAAGAGAUGAUCCACAAGCAGGAGCCUCUAGUUAAUGUUCUGCGUCUCCUGAUCUUGUUUUCAAUAACAAAUUCAGGACUGCCCAAAAGGAAUUUUGACUAUUUGAGGCAAGUGGAGGGCAGAAUGCAUUGAUUUUCUGUUUAGUCUGAUUUUGCCUUUCACAUGUGGUAUUUCAUGAUUUUUUCUCUGAGUUUUCAGUAUCUUUUGAAACUUGUUGACCUCCAUAGUGUUGUUUUAGGAGAGAGUUGCUUCACAGCUAUGGUUUUGAGCACAUGGCAACUCUGAAUAAUUUGGAAAAAGCUGGUUUGUUCAGGAAGCAGGUCUGAAUAGCACAUCCUAUCUUUCACAUAAUACAGUUGUAUGCAUUAUUGACCUGAUGGUUGUAUUACUCUUCAUCUUAUCCCUUGCAGGAGACAAAAGGCAACUGGAUUACGAUCAAACGCGCUUUGCAGCUUGUAGUUGAGGAUACAGAUACUGCUAAGUAGGGAUUGAUUUCCUGUCAUUGAUCAAUGUCUGAUUAUAUUUGUUCCAAUCAAAGAAGUUUUAGUAUAUUCCGGUAGUAGGUGAUAAAGGACAAAAAGGAUUUUCUCAGAAAACACCUCCAGUUUCCAAAUCAUGUUUCAUCUCCUUCAGAAACUAUGGUGGCAUAUAAAUUAUUUAUUCUUUCUAUUAGUGGUACACCAGGAAAAAGUUUGUAGCGUGAGAAACUCCUAGAAACUUUAGCUGACCACUGAUAGCUCCCAUCUUGCAAAGAUAAGUUAUUGGGGAGAAGGGUAGUGAUUUAGCCAAAUUUGGCAGCAGUUAAUAAUAUCCAUGUUGAUGAUUCAGUUAUGUCCAUCAGAUAUCUAAGUGGUCUAUCUUUCAUGGGCUGACUUCUUUUGAAUUUUUCUUAAAUUUAAGUUGACUUCAGUUUUAAAGCAUCUAGUUGUGCAGAGUGGAAUUAGUGGGUAGAUAAUAUGUUGAAUUAGAUCACUAGCUAGAGUCUCAAUUACCCAACCUGUAAGAUAUUUCAUUGUUCAGGGAAAGAUUAAAUUUGAAAGAUAUUCUUUGGGAGAGAAUGGUAAACUUUUGAUCUCAACAAAGAAUGAAAAUUGCAGGUGCUGAUAACCAAGAAGAGAUGUAACUAUCAAAGGUAUAGCACGUAGAAGGGCAUGCUGCCUGACCAUAUAUAUAAUUUGGUUAAAUCUUUUGUUUGGGAAUGUAGUUCUUUUUUGGCUUUCAGUUCUGUAUGGUGCCUGAUCAAUAAAGUACUUUACUUUUUUGUUGGAAAAUUUUUUUUUAAGCAUCUGUAAAGGUCAUUCUGCAUUGUUUGUUAGCUAAUCCAUUUGUAGGAUUAUUUACUGACUUCUAGAAGUUUCUGCAUUCCUCUCUGUUGUUGCUAACUUGUGAUGCUUUUGACAUAACAGUCCCAAUGAUAUCUCCUAUGUCUUCUCUGGGUAUGCACCUCUCAGUAUUCGCCUUGUUCAGCAUGCAAUCCGAUCUGGAUGGUAAGAUUCAUUUUUGAAGCAUGUUACCAAUUUAACAAGCCAAAUCCUUGCAUCUAGCUGUUUGGCUUGUUUGUUGGAAGAAUAUGAGUCUAAACAUGGUUUUCUCAUCUAAAUCCAAAGGCUCCAAAAUGGGGGUAGGGAGCAGGGAAGAAAGUAGGUAUAUAAACAUAACGUAUUUUCUUUGCAGCUAUUUUUUUUGGGGAUCUUAGUUGCUAUUAUAUAGAGAACUAAAAGUGGACUGUCUAUUAGUCUGAAGAAAAGGAAUGAACAAAAUAAAACUCCAGUUUCUUCAGUGGAUUUUUUUUUAUGGCUUAGAGCUAUGUGGCCAGAAGAGAAAAGAUUCACUAGGGGUAAAAGGUCUAGUGAAGAUAUAGACUUGGCUUGCUGCUUAUGGAGUUGCAAUAAGUGCCUGCCAAACUGGUUCUUCUCACUUCAAUUGUCACUCUCAACUGUGGAAGCUUCUGCUUCUACAACAUCUGAUGCAUGUUUAAUGUCUGUAUUCACUACUACAGGUGUUGAAAAACCUCUCUUGGAAAGUAGUAGUGUUGUGUAUGUUUCAUUGGUGCUUGGAUGAAGUAAACACUAACCGCUGUAUUUUCAAUACAGUUGAUUUUAGACAGCAUGUCUAAAUACAGAUGGUUUUAGACAACAAGUCUGAAUACGGAUGUGCCUUUUGAAUUUCAGAUCAAGCAUUAGAGUAGAAUUUGUAUCUCCAUGGAGUUUCAGUGGAAGUGUCAAUUAAAUACCAUGAGAUAAAUUAUUGACAUAUUUUGAGAAAAGAUGUUGUUAUUCAAGGAAUUGUUAGCUCUAGUUUUUCAUUCAAAUUGAGGACCAAAAAAAACUUUUAUCUUUCUAUUACUUGAGUUUUGAAAGAGUUUUAAAAUGCAUUUUCUUUGAAUACCAUGUAAAAUUAGAGCUUCAAACAGGUCUUUACUGUACUGGAUGCUUCGAAUGUUUUGAAUUGAGUGUCCUAUUCAUCAUCUUGAAGGUUCGCUUUCUGGAUCAAGAGCAAACCAUAACUUUAAUUAUUUAGGAAUUCAUUGUUAUUCUACUUUCUCAAACCUCUUUCCGUUAUUGAGUGAUAUAACUUAUUUGAAGUAGUAUGAGAUAUGGCUUUCUGUAAUCUUGUGGUGAAAUAAAUUUUCAGGCGCCCUCUUGAAGAUAUACUGAAGUUACUGCCAGGACCACAUACAGAAACCAAGAGAGUCAGUAUUGUGUUUGCCUUGACUUUCUUUUUCAUUCUUUUUACUGCUAGACUCCAUGUUCCUGUUAUGAUAUGGACGCUGCAGAAGACUCUUACUAUGGUUUAUCUUAUCAACAGAGUGGAUAUGUUGGCGGUUCAUAUGACAAUAUUUCCAGUUCUGUGCUCAACUUAGCCAAGUAAGUUUUCAGGCAGUACAUUGAUGUUGUCAUAAUUGUUUGCUUCCUAUAUGAAGAAGGAUCCUGUGAUGCUGUACAAAUGCAGGAUCAUUGGUCUAGAGUUGCAAUACAUUGUUUAGGUAGCAACAAAAAUUUCCUUCCUGUUUCUGAUGCUAUAUUGCCUCUCUCGGUUUUGUUUAUGCUCUCUUUUAAAUGAAUCUGAUUAGAGGUUUGGAAUUAUGAAAGCUGUAUUGGCUCCCAAUUGUGGUUGGAGAUAGGGAUUUUGAGCCAAAGAGUUUCAAAAGCUAAGAGUUGAACCAAAUUCUCUUUUUGACACCUUUUGAAAUUUCAGAGUUGGAGAUGGAAGGCGCUCUUUGGUCCUUGUUGUUUUCGUUGGAGGGGUUACAUUUGCAGAAAUCGCUGCCCUUCGUUUCCUCAGCUCUCAGGUAUGUUUUCAAUUGCAAGUCAUAGGUUUCAAAUGACUUUUUCUUUUAAUGUUUGACAGAUCAUGAGUUACUUUUAGUGCUCAUUUCGGUAUAUCAAAAUGCAAGAAUAUUUUAGUACUACUAUUUUGGUAUUGUUCAUUGGAGUGCCAAUUGACUAAUUUCAUGUUUCUAGUAAUUUCAAAUGUGAAUCACUAAAGGUUAUGGUUCAUUGUCAUACUGUCUCACGACAGUGAACCAUAUGCCAGACAGCGUCUGCUUGUGCUCCGUUGAUGGUGUUAAUUCCCUUGGUCAUACCACCCUUGGCCUUGGAAACCUUUAGUGCUUCUUUGUACUCUUAGGCGGCAAAAGACAAAAUGGAAAAGUGCAAUCUCUUGCUGUCUUGCAUUAUAUGAUACUGCUUGCUUGCAGGCAAAGAACUAUGAAAUGGCCUGCUUUGUCUCCAGUUUUCAACCUUUACCUUAAAUUUCUUGUUGUCUCGAGCACCAUUGCAUCUGCUGCUGCUGUUAUCUUGUCCAUGUCAUCUUGUCAAUAUCGCUAAAUGUCUCCGUGCAAUUUUCACUGUGCAGGAGGGAAUGGCAUAUGACUUAAUUAUAGGAACCACGAAGAUCAUCAAUGGUCAAACGUUAAUUGAACCAUUUGUUGAGAAAUUGGGAUAACUUUUAAAGCUCCUUUUGGACAGUUAGUGAGCUGCAGAAGAGGAAGGAGGCUGCUCCUUGCUUGUCACCCGGAAGAUCAUAGCCAGCUUGCUUCCUUUUGAUUGUUAAGCAGAUGUUUGACUUGUACGUGAGGUGUUCGUUUUGACAAUGGAUCGUAAAUGGGCUUGUACAUAAAGAAAUGAAUUCUAGCCCUUUUUACUCUGCACAAGGAAUGCUUGCCAGGUGGUUUGCACUUCAGCAGGUAUAGUGCGAAAUUUGGUGUCAUUUCAUUCACCACCUCAUCUGGCGGCAUGUCUAUUUUUGCUGGCAAAAGAUAUGAAAUUUUUUGGACGGGAUAUCUUGGUAGUAUGUAUUGGUUGGAUGUAUUUCACCUCGUAAGUAAUUAUGAUUUGAACCUACAGAAAAUUAAUCUCCAUUUCUCGACUACAUGGACGUAUGUUUGUAAAACAAGAGCUUGUUUCGCUGAAAUUCUUUUUUGCAUACUAGGUUUUGGAUUUCAACUUUUACUUUUGGACAAAGCAAAUUCUGGAGAGAAUGAAGUUGGUAACCCCUUCUAAUGAGGGGAUCAUUUACCUAACGAGGGUAACGUGUUGACCGUUUUACAUGAGUUCGUUGACACAUUUACUGUAUCAAUUUUGCUAACGUCAAUACCAUAAACAUUAACAAAGUCCAUGGUUAAAAAUAAAUACAUUGAUUAAUAUGUAUACUUUUACCAUUAGAUAUAUGACGCAUAAUUUGAAUUUAAAUUUAAAACUUAAAUUUUGCAUGUGUCGUGUAUCUAACUGUGAUAGUGCAUAUACUGUCAGUGUAUAAAAGAUUAAUUCUUUUUAAAUAAAUCUUAUAUGUACUAACAGUGUAUAUACCAUUACGAUUAGAUGCAUGACACGUUAACAAAACAGAAGAAAAUCAGUUUUUUCAUUUACGAACAUGUUUACCUUCUCCCUACCUCAGGGGCGUUUCAUUCCCCAGCAUGACAGUAACUAAUACCUCUGAUUAAUUUAAUGUUAGUUGCUUUUCUUAACACACAACCCCCCCCCCCCCCCCCGGCCCCCUAAAUUUUUUUUCUGUACCACUUGCCUUGGAAAACAAAUCUUUUUGUCUUCGUUUUGACCCCAAAGGUGUGCGCCUGCAAUAAUACUAGAAGGAUUCCUUUUCCUUCUUCCCUUUUUCCCCAUUAUUCCCUUUGCUUUGGGGAAACGUAUUUUGGAAACGCAUUCCUUAUGUUGUGCUUUGCUGGCAGGUGACGAAGAGCUUCCUGAUUCUAUUAUUUCUUGUUUGAAAGGGCAAGGAAGCUGGUAGAUAAGAUUAUUUAUUGGCUGGAAAAGGAUUUUUCUCGACGGAUUACUUUCAAGAAUCCAUUACACAAGUUUCUCACAGCCGCCAGAAUCACAGGAACCUCAACUUCGAGAUUCCAAGGGGAUUCUUCUUCUUCGUCCCUUCCCCACCCCCGGGGCCGCGCCAAACAAUUCAUAUUACGUCAAUGACAUGAAAAUGAGGGCAUGAGCGGUAAUUGAUGAUUACUGUGAAGAAAGGUCAUAUAACUCGAAACGCUUUAAAGAUUUAAGGGUAAAAAACAAAAGACCUGCAGUAUAUCUAAUACACAUAAAAGCCCUUCGUGGUUUUAAAACAUACAAAAUCACACCUCAUAUUUUGAAUUAAAUAGUAAACUAACAUAAUUCGUUAAACCUAACGAAAUCUGGUAAACUUAACGAAAAACUUAACAAAAUCCGAUAAAUUUAACGAUAAACUCAACGGAAUCCGAUACAUUUAACGGCUGAAAUCGUCAUUUUCGUUAAAUUUAACGAAUUCUGUUAGUUUACAAUUUAAUUCAAAACAUGAGGUAUCGUUUUGUAUGUUUUGAGAUCAUUAAAAACUUUUCUGUGUAUUAGAUAUACCACAGGGGACUUUUUUGUUUUUAACCCAAGAUUUAAAGAUAAUAAUAAGCAGUGUUGCAGUACAAUUGACUUCACUGUAACAUUCAUCAAACCUGUGCACUGCAUUUUGACGCUAUGAUGGAAAUAGUAAAACAGAAAGCCUUUAACAAUUACGUGAUCUUAACAAAAAUGACCUGUUUCUGUGUGCAAAAAGUUUUAAUACACGGAAACAGCUAUUAUGCACAUCUUGAGGAUUGAAAUUUCCACCUGGAAUAUAAAUUAACAGCCAAACAACCAGGCUUAGCGUUCCCUUGGCAUUUCAAAGCAUCCUGUUUUGACCAAUGUCAAUUCCAUGGCUCCAGGAUCAGCAAUAGAUGUCCUCACAAUUAACUCGGAAUCCACCACCUUCCUCAUGGUCAAGAUACAAUUUUACACAUCAAUCAUUUAACUCCCUUCAUGCCUCUUUCUCAGCAUACCUUUCAAUUCCAGGACUGGCUUUGACAUAACCAAGAAGUGAUUGAGGCAAGGGAACCCUGCGGGGUGGUGGGAUUCUAUCGCUUUAUACAGGAUGUGAUUUCAUACAUCUACAUUUUUUUUUUUGUAUUGAAGUAAUGUGGUGCAUUUGCUUUUCUCUUAUGCUCAAUGAUGUAAACUCUUCUGUUCUUUCGCCUUGCUUAGCACGUCUUGCAACAUGGGAAUCCCCGCGAACGGUCUGAAGUCAUUAGCAAGCUCGCUGGACAAAUUGUGAAGAUGAGUCAGCAGAAAUUUGCUUCCAAUGUCAUUGAGAAGUGCUUAGCUUUUGGUGGUCCACAAGAGCGUAAAGUUCUGAUAGAUGAGAUGCUUGGUUCCACCGAUGAAAAUGAACGCUACAGCGUCGAUUUUUAAAUCUUAGUCCCGCAUGCCAAGAUUCAGCUAUUAUCCUUUGGUUACUGAGCAUUUGAUUUGAUGAUUUGGCAGGCCACCUUUUGUUUUACUGACAUAUUUCUUGGUCCUUCUGUGCUUCUAUUUUGAUUUUUAG
RNAcentral lists this long non-coding RNA (79669 nucleotides) under Coffea arabica (coffee). RNAcentral describes it as "long non-coding RNA (CARA_LNC000955)". The record is from RNAcentral. Lineage: Eukaryota; Viridiplantae; Streptophyta; Magnoliopsida; Gentianales; Rubiaceae.